GAACAGCAGUGCCUUUAUUGGAGUUCCUGACAUGGAUCCAGUUUAUCUAAAUGGUUUUAACCUGGUAACGGAUGAUACAGGAUUGGUGUCUGCUACCUUCACGUAUUCAAAUGAUAGUGGUUUGUUGUACUUUGAAUUGAGUUCCUCAGGGUCUAUACUGCAGAAAGUUUUAUCAGAUAGAAAAGGGGAUUGGGAGGUUACAUGGUCAAGCCAAGGAAGUCAAUGUGAUGUCUAUGGCAUAUGUGGACCUUUUGGAAGCUGCAAACCCCAUGGUUCACCUAUUUGUACAUGUUUGCAAGGUUUUGAGCCUAGAGAUAAGGUGGAAUGGGAAGGAGGAAACUGGACUAGUGGUUGCACAAGAAGGGAAAUGCUGCAAUGUGAGAGAAAUAAUUCUGUUCGUUCUGAGGGCAAACAAGAUGGAUUCUUGAAGCUCCCAAACACUAAAGUUCCAGAUUUGGCUGAAUGGGUAGCAACUUCAGAAGACGAAUGUGGUACUCAGUGCUCAAAUAAUUGCUCCUGUUUAGCUUAUGCCUCUUAUCCGGGCAUUGGCUGUAUGCACUGGAAGGGAAGCUUAAUUGAUAUACAGCAGUUUGCCUCUUCUGACGGGGCAGAUUUAUACAUACGUGUGCCUUAUUCUGAACUUGGUAAGACACUUCUUAUUACAAUGUUUUAGUAACUCUGUACUCUUAAUGUAGCAUUUUACUUUCUGCUUCCGCAUUCAAAUAGGAUUUGAAUUCGAUCAAGGCUAUAUUUUGGAAUGUAACGAAGAUAUCAAAUCCCCUUCACUUCUUUUUACAUUUUUUCUAUAGAUUCUACAAGAAAGUCAAAAUGACAUAGAAUUGCAUUUGGCUAGUUCUUUCUCGAUAGUAGCUUUCUGAAGAUGCUUUGAAACUUUGACAUUUAUAGGCAAGAAAAGGGACAUGAAAGCAGUCAUUGCAACCUCAGUAAUUGGAGCAUCUUUAUUUAUUGCCGUCUCUCUAUAUUUUUGUUGGAAAUGGUGGACUAAGCACAAAGGUGAGAUUACUUACUUUAAUAUGCUCAAACUGUGCUUAAUUAAUUUCUCGUGUGUUGUGAUUUAUAUUCAUGCAUUCACCUACCACCUGCUCAUAAACAGGUAAAGACCAAGAUGAUCAGGUGUCUUCGUUUGAACCUGCGUAUAAUGUGGAAAACAUGGUCAGCAAAACUGGGGACGGAGCCAAGUUAGGAGAGCUACCUCUGUAUACUUAUGAAACACUAGCUAAAGCAACAGAUAACUUUGAACAAUGCAAUGAGCUGGGCAAAGGUGGUUUUGGUCAAGUCUACAAGGUAAUGUAAGCUCCUCAUGGUAUUCCACGCUGCUUCAAGAACUACAUGAGUUGUUUGCUAGGAUUGGAACUUAAUUAUCAUUGCAUCUGCAGGGAAAGCUGUUAGAUGGCCAGGAAAUUGCAGUGAAAAGGCUUUCCAACACUUCAGGCCAAGGCAUUGAGGAGUUUAUGAAUGAAGUUGUGGUCAUUUCUAAACUCCAGCACCGGAACCUUGUUAGACUCAUUGGCUGCUGUGCUGAAAGAGAAGAGAAAAUGCUAGUCUAUGAAUACAUGCCAAACAAAAGCCUGGACUUCCAUCUAUUUGGUUUGUUGAUGAACAUCGCAGCACUUUUUUUUUUUUUUUCUUCAGUUCCAAAAAACCAGGUUUUUCGACUAGCAGCACUAUAUGGCACAGGAAAUUUUCCGUAAUACCUUAUACUGAGUCAUAUUGAUCUACGUCAUUAUUGCUCUUUCAGAUUCUGAUAAGCCAAGUGUACUCGAUUGGAAAAAACGCGUCACCGUCGUUGAUGGGAUUGGCAGAGGCCUCCUUUACCUUCACAGAGAUUCAAGAUUAAAAAUCAUUCACAGAGAUCUAAAGGCAAGCAAUAUUCUAUUAGAUAAAGAGCUGAGACCCAAGAUAUCAGAUUUUGGCUUGGCAAGAAUUUUCAGAGGCAAUGAAGAUCAAGCCAAUACAAGGAGGGUUGUGGGUACAUAGUGAGUACAGUUCGCUCUCUUGUUUAAUUCAAUCAGUUCAUAAUAAAUCUAAACUGUUUUUCUUCCCCUUGUAGUCCUCAUAACUCAAACUACUUUUUACUCUUUUUGCCUAUAUAUAUGGUGAUGAACGUAAGUGGCUACAUUGCCCCGGAAUAUGCAAUGGAAGGCAUGUUUUCAGAAAAGUCAGAUGUCUACAGCUUUGGGGUGCUGCUAUUAGAGAUUGUGACAGGAAGGAGAAAUAGUAACUUCUAUUAUCACGAGAAUGAGCUGAGUCUACUUGGAUAUGUAAGAUAAUAUCUUCGACUAUGAAGAGUAUCAUAAGGGCAAAGUUCCUUAUCUCAUUCUUGCAUAAAGCAAAUUAAAUUCACAGUUUCAUUUUGCUUCCUCAGGCCUGGAAAUUGUGGAAUGAAAAAGAAGCAGUUAAACUGAUAGAUGCAGCUAUGUUUGUCCCGGGUAUCGAAAAAGAGGUCUUGAGAUACGUCCAUGCAGGGCUAUUGUGCGUGCAAGAAUUUGCAAAAGAUAGGCCAGAUAUCUCUGCUGUUCUAUCCAUGCUUAACAGUGAAAUUUCAAAUCUCCCUCUUCCCAAAUUACCGGCUUAUACAAGAAGAUUAGGAUCUUCAGAAAGUGAUUCUUCUUCGCAAAGGGUUGGUUCUAUUAACAAUGUCACUGUAACGAUUGUUGAAGGCCGAUAACAGAAUCCACUUCACAGUAUGCAGUACUAGUAAUGCAUUCAACAAGACGGAUGUAGCACAACAUCAGUUUGCUUUUGGAGGCAGGGACGGAGCCAGAAAUUUAUUUUUGGGGGGGCUGAAGUGUAUUAAAAAUUUUUUUUUUGUGACGAAAUAAAUAUAUUUAAUAAGUAAAAUCUAGAAUCAAUAAUUAUAAAAAUAAUAAAAACAUAUAAUUAUACAUACCCAAAAAUUUGUUAUUGAUUAACACUUGAAGUAUUGGUAGUUGUUGCACUCGAAUAACGAAGAGGAGGCAAUUGCAUUCUGCGAGUCUUCAUCCGUUGAAAACGUUGCAAUAUUUGCUCAUUUUCAAUUGUUGCAAAAAUAUCCUUCUCGAUGUAUACAACCAGACAGUCAUUCAUCCACUCGUCUCCCAUUUUGUUGCGCAAAUCAGUCUUGACAAUAUUCAUUGCAGAAAAUACUCUUUCAACAGAAGCAGUCGCAACUGGUAGAACUAAUGCCAACUGGAUCAGACGAUAAACAAAUGGAAAAACUGUAUUUUUACCAGUUUUAACCAUUUGUUGAGCAAGACUUCCCAAAUCUCCAACUUCUGAAAAUUGAGGAUCGCGUUGCACAUUAUAAAUAUAAUUUCGAAGUUGAGACUCAAGAUAUAAAUAAUCGUUACUUGAGAAGUCUUCAGGAUAUAAAUCAGCAAGACGGAGUAGUUUCUGCACAUUGAAUUGAGAGAAAGAACUUUUUGGAUCAAGACAUGCUAUGCAACUAAGCAAUUCCGUGCUAACUUCCGAGAAACGAUUAUUCAUCUCUUGUAUAAUUAAAUCAACAACCUGACAUCACAACAAUAAUAAAAUUAAUAACUAAGAAAAUCUGCUAACAAGUAACAAAUGUAAUGAAAUAAUAAUUUCAAAAAUAAUACCUCACAAAAAAUUUCCACGCGAUAAUGAUGAAAAUUAGUGAUGGUUUGACCUCUGCGACUGCGCCUGGCAUUGCCACGGAUUGCUAUACUGUCUUCCAUAUCAAUCACGGGAAUCAUAUUCAACUCACAAAAAUUGUUGACUUCAUCUAAAAUUAUUUGCCAUCCCUCUUCCCUAAAGUCUUGCAAUUGAGAUUUCAUAGUAUCAAUCAAACUCAUGGCUUGGACAAUAUUUUGAUCCCUUUGUUGCAAAACAAGUGACAAGUCAUUUGUGAUUCCCAAUAAAUACUUCAUCAGGUGCAAUGCAAAAACAAACUCAUAAUCAUUCAUUCUAUCAAUCAAACCCCUGGCCAUACCUCUAUUGUCAGAAGUGGAGGCAUCAUCUUGUAUAUUUCCCAAUAUUCCAAUCACCGAAGCCCACAUAGAGGAUAGACGAAGUAAUGUUAGAUAGUGUGAUCCCCAACGAGUAUCCCCUGGUCUUGCUAAACUAGUUUCUUGAUUUUUGCCUUUUCCACUAAUAAUAUCUCCACUGUCUAAAAGUGUAACAAUCUUAUCAUGUUCUAUUUGUCUUAAUUGAUCUCUCCUUUUACAUGAUACUCCAGUUAAAUUGACAAUCAUAGAGACAUAGACAAAGAAUUCACUGACAAUGAUAUUUCCCUUAGCAACAGCAACAAUAACUAACUGGAGUUGGUGAGCAAAACAGUGAAUAUACAUCGCAUAGGGAUUUUCUUGUAAUAUAAGGGCCUUCAAACCAUUGAACUCACCUCGCAUAUUUGAAGCUCCAUCAUAUCCUUGACCUCUCAAUUUGGAUAAUGAUAAUCCGUGUUGCGCGAAUAAAGAAUCAAUUGCAUCUUUCAAACAAAGAGAUGUGGUGUCAGACACAUGUACAAUUGCAAGGAAACGUUCAAUCACACGCCCUUCUUUGUUCACAUAUCUCAAAAUAACUCCCAUUUGCUCUUUCACUGAACUGUCUCGAGACUCAUCAACUAUUAGGGAAAAAUAAUUGUCUCCAAUAUCAUUGAUUAUAACACUUGUGAUCUCUGAGGCACAAGCAUGUGCCAGCUCUUUUUGAAUCAUUGGAGAAGUUAGUUGAUUAUUUGCAGGAGCAUUUUGAUUUACAACCUCAAAAAUCUCAGUAUUUCGCUGGCUAUACCACUCAAACAAUUCAAGAAAAUUGCCUCUAUUUGAAGAACUAGUUGACUCAUCAUUUCCACGAAAAGCCAAUCCUUGCUUCAAAAGAAAGCGGGUCACAUCCAGAGCAGCAGUUAAACGGGUGCGAUAUGCAAUAUCUAUUUCGCGCCCACAAGAUCGUAGCACAUUUGACACACUAUGCCUUUGAUCUUGAAAACUUUCAAACUGUAUUCUAGCAUCAUUAUGGCAACUAUUCACAGCUCCAAUAUGUUCAUUAAAUCUUUCCAUUGCCUUUUUCCAAUUAUUGAAUCCCGUUUUUGUAAAGGCAUCCUCUGCAUAUCGACCUCCCUUAUUUUGUGUUUUGAAAAGAAAGCACCAAAAGCAAAACGCCGCAUCUUUCGAUAUGCUAUACUCUAACCAUACAAACUUUUGAUACCAACUAUCUUGGAAACUUCUAUGUUGUUUACCAAAUGAUGUUUUUGGAUACAUAUGGCCAAUCGGUUGGCAAGGUCCCCUAGUCAAAUACUCUCUUCGGACAUGGUCUCGAAGAGAAAUAUCAAAUUUCUCAACUGAUUUUCGUAAUCCCGGAUCACUAACAAUAUCAUUUAAAUUCAAUUCCACACAAGAUUGAUUUUGAACUGGUUCACUAAUAUUAGGCUCAUUUGAAGAUUCACCACUACGGACUCGUUUAGGUUUAAAGAAUCUCUCCAUUUUCUGUCACAAUUAAAUAAUUGUGGUUAAAUUCAAUAAAAUUAUGCAAUUCAAUAAUCAAUUAAUUUAAAAUUCAUAUAAAUAAUUCUUUAAUUUAAUAAUAAAUUCAUAUUACUUAUAUUUCUCAAUUUAUAAAAUUCAUUAUAUAAAAUUAUCAAAAAGUUAAAAUAAGGUACAACUAAAUACCCAUAUAAUUUCUAAUUCAAUCUCAUAAAAUUUUGAAUUUAUAUUUACAUUCAAAAUUUCUAAUUCACAUAAUUAAUUCUUAAAAUUUCAAAUAUAAAACUAACAAAAUUUUAAAAACUAAAUACAACCUAAAAUCUAUACAAUUUCUAAACUAAUUUCUAAUUUAAAUUUAAUAUCAUUAAAUUUUUUAAUGUAAUCUUUCAAAUUCUUAAAUUACAUUAACAUAAACUAAAUAAAAAUUAAUCUUAAUCAAAUUAAUAUCAAGAUACUCAAAAUUCAAAAAUAAUUUAAACAUAUAAUUAACAAAAAUAUAAAGAUGAAUAUUGUAAUUUAAACCAAAAAACUAACCUAAAAGAUUUAUGUGAAUGGAAUGGUGGAGAGUUGGAGUCUUGGAGCCUUGAAUUGAAGGCUUGAAGCAGGAUGGUAGAAUCUCAACUGAAGCUUCUUGGAGUUCUUGGAGCCUGGCGUGAGUGGCGUCUUCUUCUUGGAGUUGGAGACUUGGAGUCUUCGUGAGUGGCUUCGGUGUUUGCCCUUUGGCCUUUGGCAUUGGCGGCGUGCUUUUGCAUCAGAUGAAGCUUUAGGGCUUCAUCUGAUGUAUUUUUUUUUCCCCUCAUUAUACAAAACGACGUCGUUCCACUAAAAGUGAAACGACGUCGUUUUGUAUUUAGAGGGCUAAAAAAAAAUUCAACAUAAAUUGGGUCAUCUUCUUCCUCGGACCUCAGCAGUCAGCAGACUCAGCAGUCAGCACGGCAGGCUGGCAGCGGCUUUCCAGGCCCAGCACUUCUUCACUUCCUCUGCAGCAUUCAUGGAGGCAUGGAGCCAUGGAGGAUGGUAGAUCUGGAUCACCGUGGGGGGACUGGGCUGGGCUGGGCUGGCCGCCGGAAUCCCCUAUAUGGCUAUAUAUAGGGGAUUUUCCGGCGGCUUGGGGGGGGCUUAAGCCCCCACCAGCCCCCCCUUAAAUCCGUGCCUGUUUGGAGGUAUCAGCAUAUAAUCAACUGCUUGGUUAUGUUUAUGCAUCUCAGUCUGACCAUAUAUUUGACAGCUUACUGGGUAUAAAGUAUAUAAAUAACUGUUUACUUGCUAUCAUGGACAGUUUUAGCAAUAGUCUCUCCUAUGAAUACUUUCUUCUAGUCUCUGUUUCUUAGGCUGACUUUAUGCAUCUCAAAUUAUUUUCCCAGAGAUAAGAGCAGAUUUCAACGCACAAUUUGGAUUAUUUGCAGAAAACCAUUAGUUUCUAGAUGACGUAUUUGGAUGUCAAUGCCUUACCCAUGGUUCUAGAUUGAAUUUUUAGUACUUUUCCUAGUCGACAGAUAACUCAAUUUUAGGAAAUUUUUAUGUUCAUAUUUCUUUAUCUAUAUACGAAUUUUCAUGCAUGACUUUUGACCAUGUAUCACUUAGAACCACUAAGCUUGAAUAUGGAAUCCAAUAAUGCUAAUUACUUGAGAGUUCACCUUUUCUUAUUUGCUUUGUUUGAAAGAAUCUAAAGUGUUACUGGCUUGUAGGUAUUUCAAUUCGUUGAUGUACAGAAGACUGGUAAAAUAACAUUAAACAAGUAACCACUUUUAAAUUUGAUUAUCUAUUUAUCAAUGUCCUAUUUUCCUUUGAUACACAUAAAUGGAGUCUUAAAAAUACUAGUGCACUAAAAUCGUAAGCUUAAACUGAUUGACCAUGUUGUAAAUUGAAGAUCAUCUUGGUGCUAUGGUCAAACUGAUUACUCGCUUUAGGGAUCAUUGGCUUUUGUUAUGGAAAGUUCAUGUUCGGGAUGUAAUUCCUUUUUUGAAUGUGUUUCAUUUUGCAGGUUAGGAUAUCAUUUCUUGGCUCUUAGAACGUUUUCUGAUCACUUGAGCCAUUCUCUAUGAAGUUGAGAUGGUACUACCUAUUUGUAUUUGUGGUAUUGUAAUUUUGAUGAAUAUUAGAGUAUACUGCGAGACUCGAUUAGUAUGUUAACUAAUGGAAGGCUUCAUUCAUUAAUACUCGCAGGAGUAGCUAGUUAAUUUGCUAUAAAUGAAUUUAUGUCUUUUUCUUAUUUCUUGAUGGACGUCAACUUAAGAGGCUUGUGAAUGGAUUUCUUUUAAGUUUUGGCCUUCCAAAAAAAAAAAAGAAAAGAAAUAAAAAUAGAAAGAAAAGAGAAAAAAGAAAAAAAAAAGAAAAAAGAAGAUGUUUUUGUGACUCGCAAGUCCGCUAGUCACAAGGCUACUGGGGUCUAAUUUAACUAGUGGGUCCCAAUAGCACUUGUGAUCAGCAAAACAUGACACAAAAGAUCUUUUGUGACUAUUAUUUGUAUGUCACAAAUAAAUCCUAGUUUUUUUGAUUUUUUAUUACAUUCAAAAUACAAGUCAUAAAAGGUAUUCUUACAAGUCACAAUUGAUAAUGUGACUUUCAUAUACAAGUCAUAAAAAAUUUUGUGACUAUUAAAUCCGUGACUUUCAUAUACAUGUCACAAUGUGGUUACAAAAAGAUUUUGUGACUGUUUCGACCCUUUUUUUGACUAUUAUUGACGAGUCACAAUUUCUAGUAGUGAAACAUGUUUUGCAGGAUUAAUAAAGUCUUCAUUGUCUAGGAUGCUAAUGGCUAGAAUGUUGAACUGUUUGGACUUCAGUAAAUUUUGUGAAGUUUUGAUUGUGGGCAUAACAUUGGCUAAGAAAUUAUGAUGAACAAAAUUAAUCAAUUGUGAGCCGCACAAAAUGUUGAUUACAUAAAAAAGAAAUCAAACAUUUACUAUGCAUUGUAUAAUUACAAAAACUCAGAGAUUACAGAAACUCAAAGAUGGAAGGUUACAGAAAUUUUCUAUGAUGUGUCUAGCCAGUGCAUAAAACCAACAAAAAAUAAAUUAACAUUUUGUCUUGUUAUUAGCUAUCUAUGAUCUUUUGUCUAGUCAUUAACUGGUAUUUUCUUCUAAACCAAUAUAUAUGAUAUACGUAGUUAACUUCAGUUAUCAUUAAAUAAAAAAGGGACACCACAAUAAUUGAAGAUAAUUUUAACAUAUAAUGAUUUGAGAUAAGAGCAAGGGUUAGUGAAUAUAUUUUUUAUAUUGGCAGUUUUAAUUCUAAUCACAUUUAUUAUUGAUAUGUAAUCAAUUGGAAUUUUUUUUUCUUGGUUAGUGUCACAACUGAAAUGAGAUGCGUUUAACGCUAAUUAAAAGGCAUGAUGGUAGCUUAGGCAUAACUGGACAUAAUAUGUGUGACGACCCCACCUCCCCCUAAGGCGUACCAAAGGAUUCGGCGGACUGCCUGCCAAACUCUCGCCAGGACUCACUCACAAGCUCACGCGAAUCACGUACAUACGCAUCCAUGAACCAUAAAUAACAUCCACGAUUCAAGCUUAUAAUAUACAUGGAUAGGAAACAUGGUACAAAGUCUCGAUAUACUCAAACUAGUUCAAAGCGUAUACAAUCCAAGUACAAAACAAUCCAUUCGAGGAAUAGCGCGAGUACAAGUCAAAAUUCAAAACAAAAUCAAGAGCAACUAGACUACGCUAGCCUUUAUACGUCUCACGCUUCACUCGUACCCCUGUAAGGAAAACAAACUAACGGGGUGAGCCAAAACUCAGUGAAGUUCCCAAAUAUCAAAUUGGUCAACAAAUCAAGUGAUAACAAAGUAAUAGUGAAAUAGCGAGCAAACAAGUCAAAUCAGGAAAAUAGUACUUCAGCUAGCCAAGUAAUAUCAGGUUCACAUUCACAUGUAAGGAUACAGUAACCCAUAUCACGGCUCCAUUCCAGCUUGGUCAAGUGGUAGUUGACACUCCGCCAACUUUCAAGUCAUAACAAGUCCAAAAUAAAACUCCACUACACGCCAAUCUCCGUCCACCAAUCAACCCCCUUUUCCGGGCCCGCACGCCACACGAAACACGGGUGGUAAUACUCGAGUAUAUCGUUUAGUCGAGGAGAUAACACUCCACUCGACAUUACAAGUGACCCAGGGUUUGUUAUCUAAUCGACUAGGCCCUUGCCGGCUCGACUCGAUUAACUAGCCACAGGGUUUCUGGAAUUCCAGGCAAGACAUAUCUCAAGUACAUGUAGAGCAAGUCAAGUGUAAUCAAUAGCAAGAACAAGUCAUAUUGGGGCAAGUGCAGUAAAGUACACCCUUGCCCUAUCAUUCAUUUUCAUGUAAUCAUAAAAUUCAAGUAAGGAACACAUGCAUCAAGUACAAUCGGAUAUUUGGAAGCACUCACCAAAAUAUAGUGCUUCAAGUAUUCACGUUCACUUAUACUCCAGGCUUGGAGUCCAGAUCUGCGAUAAAAAUCCAAUUUGAGAACUUUGAAACACGAGUAAGAUUCGAAACUUAAACGUUCCGUUCAUUAAGAAUCGUCCAAUUGAAAUUCAUUUGAAAGACAUUCGUGAAACACUUGCUCGCUUUUCAAAUCGUAAGGUUUUUGUAACAUAUAUACUUGGAAACAACACUUGAGUUGAAAGUACAAGGAAAUACAAGUUUAUAUUGGCCAUUAUGUCUUUUCCUCAAGGGUAUAAGUUCGGCUAGGUUUUAACGUAUAACCCUCGAACCAAGAUAGCCAAAAUCCUAGGUGGUUCAAGUACUAUUCAUCUUAACUUGACCCAAGUCACAAGUGUAUUUCUAUAGCCCUCGAGCGUAAAUUUGGGCAGCAUGCCCUUUGUGUUUACCUAAUUUCCAGCCAUUUAUGGCUUCAUUCUUACUCAAUCCAACCUAACAUUGUACACAAAACAAGUCCAGAACACAAAUUCAGUUCAAUAGCCAUUCCAUAGGCUCACAACAACACAAGAGCAAAGAUUAAGCUAAUAUCAGGUGCGGAAAUGAAACUUAUCAAAAGACAGUUUUGACGGGUUUUGCGGAAAUAACACAUCCGAGGCUACGUUUAUCGGAUUGAUACGUAGCUUAUACCAUUUCGAAGCUAAGACGAAAGCCUACAACUUUCAUGAAGAGCACUCAGUCAAAGUUUCAAUGUAACCUGAUCAAAUUCCCAACUCACGUAACCUGGUUUCAACUAUUCGGCUAAUCAACUGCACUGCACUCAAAUGACCAUAACUCAGUCUACCGAGGUCCGUUUAAGACGUUCUUGGCAGCGUUACAAAGAUAAGACAGGGCACUAAAACUUUCAUGUUUUAACAAAUGACUAAAUCCGAACUAAUUACAGUGAAUAAACUCAAUCAAAAGGACUGAACUGUCCACGCGGAACUCUGGAAAGGGACCUAGAUCAACGAGGGUAUUUUCAUCUUUUCACAAGCUACGUUGCUCCGAUUGAACUGAAAUUUUGUAGAUAGCUAUAAAAUACCAUUCCCUACAACUUUCAUGUUUUGAUCUAUGGCCAAUUCAGCCUCUAACAUGGAGCAACAAAAACGGGCAGAAAAGGGGAAAAUUUUCUAGAAAUCUGGAAUUUGUUGAUCUUCAAUGAAACUUUCUCAAAUUUCUUAUUCCAAUCACUACCAAAGCCCCUUAUAUAAUCUUAUAUACAACAUAUAUUAAUCAUACUUCCAAUUUGGCAGCAAUUUCCCAAAUCCUAACUCAUGUGUCCACAAAGAAAACAACCCCCAAAACAUGCUAACAACCGUUAUUCAGCACAAACUUGAGUUGCUAAGCUAAUUUACACAAGAUUUAAAAGAUCAAGGACCAUGAUCAGAUUUAAUACCUCAAAGACAAGCUUGGAUGAGUGAUAAUCCACCUCCUUUAAAAAUUUCUGGUUCCUCUAGCUUCCCCUACUCACAAUUAGCACUUUAAUCGGUUUGGAAUCGAUUUUCUCACUUGGUUUGGCUAAGAUUCAAGAAGAAAGAAGUUGUUUUCUUGCUCUCACUUUCUCUCUCUCUCUUUGGUCGGCUCUUCAGCAGAAAAAUGAAGAGAAAAGGUGCAAUUUAGGGGAUAAGAAGGAAGACUAAUGUCUUGGUCAAGAAACCCUUAGGUAGCGACACUUGGCGCCACCACCUCCUCUCAUUUUUUCUCUUUCUUUUUCUUGCUAUUUUGAGCCCUAAAUUUCGGUCAAGAUAGCUGGCAAAUGGAAGAUAUUUUGCUCAAGUAUUAAUGGGGUUGUAUGGUAAGAAAGUGGUGGUCAAGUGAUACGUUCAAUCGGUAGUGCGCGGGACCCGCCGGUUCGCGCCGUUUUUCUUAAAAACACACAUACUAGGGUUUUUACUUCCUAUUCACCAACCUUAUCUCAUUGCUCCUAAUCACAUAUUAUUUCUCACUUAAAAGUCACUUUUAAUCACCAAAUUUGAUCCUUGCUCCAUACCGAAAAUUCAUCCGGUGGAAAAAAAAUCACGAAAACCCUAAUUUGCCCCAAUUUUGGAAACGAAGAGUGAAACCCUACUUUCUAGGUUCAUCUGCACUUAUUGUUGAACAAUUGGGUAGCAGGGCUUUAAUAAAUAAUAAUUUUCUAAUAAAAGGCAUUUUUUUUUGAGAAAAAUAUAAGAAAUUUGCGGGUACUCACACUCUCUCCCCCUUAAAAGAAUUUCGACCUCGAAAUUCAUAGAUGCACUUCGAAUAAUGUAGGAUAUUUUCCUUAUAUAUUCGUUUCCAGCUCUCAAGUUUCACUAUGGUCAACACUUGGUUAAACAAUAGAAAUCACGAAUCGUACCUUCUACUAUCUCCAAUGGUUCAGGUAAUGCCUGUUGGUCCAAGGCGUACACUCUAACUGGCACUCUCGGAUUAGUCCCUCCUACAUUUGCUUGUUCAGGGUUUGGGCGUGAUCUACGGGGACAGGUUGCAAGCUGGUGUUCGGUGCCACCACACCAUAAACAUUUUCCCGCCUUUCGCCAACAAUCACUCUCCACAUGAUUGGCCUUCCCACAGCACCCGCAAGAUGCUUGAGGGGCUGAGGUCUGACCUCCUUGUGAGGCACCUCUUGCUUGGCCCCAGCCACGCGAAACUCCUCUUGGAGUACUUUCUUUAGAUAUCUCUGAAAUUUUCUCACUACCAUCUCCUCGGCCUAUCUUAGAAGGUGGCAUAUCUAAAUCACCUUGUCCUUGCCUUUGACUCCAACCAGGCGCACCUCUCCUUUUUGCAUGAAAAGCUCUCACUUGUGCCCUAACAGUCUCUAUCCUUAGGGCCUUCUCUAGAACCUCCGUGAAUGUAUUAAUUUGGACUGCCGCUAAGGCUUCUUGUAACUCCACAUUCAGCCCUUGCACAAAUCUCCGUACUUUUCUCUGCUCCGUAGCUAUCAGUUCGGGAGCAAAUUUAGACAACUUUGUAAACUGAGUCUCAUACUCAGUUACACUCAUCAUUCCCUGAUGGAGUUUAAUGAAAUCGUCCUCUCGCUUCUCUUGGACGAUAGGAGGAAGAUAUUUCUCGUUGAAAUCUCGUACAAAGUUUAGCCAAGUCCAUGCAGUUCUCUCUCUCUCCCACUUGGCCCUCACUACAUUCCACCAGGCCCUAGCUGGCCCCUCAAAUUGAAAAACAGCGAAUUGGACUUGUCUCUCCUCUGUAUAGUUCAGGGCAGCAAAAAUAUUUACCAUGGCCUCCAGCCAUUUCUCAGCCUCAUACGGGUCUGGCCCUCCUAAAAACUUGGGUGGGGAGAACUUUUGGAAUCUCUCCAAGACUCUAUCCUGCCCCAUAUCGGGGUCCCUAGGUUGAUUUACAGGGGCUUGACCCUGUUAUUCCACCAACCGAGCUAAAAUGUUAGUCAUCUGUUGGAUGGCAGUUGCCACCUGAUCUCCUCCUGCAGCUUGGGGUUCAGGCUGUGGCUCAACCGUUGCCUCCCUCUCCUCUCUCGGUUUUGGCACCGGUUAUUGUGCUUGCUCACCCUCAUGGCCUCGCCUAGAGCCGCGUUCUCGGUUAGCUUUCUUGGUCCGACUUCUUUUAUCUUCCAUGUUUCGCAGCUAAUAAACUAGAACAAUAUAACCAACUAAUCAAUAAUAGAAUAUAGCCACUAAUUAACUAUAUAAAUAUAAAUAGCAUAAAACAGAGUAAUGCAAAUCAUAAACCACUCUAAAUCAUAGAGCAAGGCAAAAUAACAUAUUCAAUCAAAACGAGUCACAUAACUUAUAGAGCAUUAACCCUACGUAUCGCUCAGGUACUACACUUAAUCAAGACUCGAAACACGUGGAUAAGAAGGAUCCCAAAUCCCAUGAAUAUCUUCAAUAUAUUUCAAGUCCAUAAUAUUCACAUUCCCCGUGCCUUUGCUUUCGCAAUCCAAACUUAUCUCAAUAUUACGCGAGAUCUCAACUUAUCGUAAAGGUAUCACUCUUUGGUAUUCGGGGACAAGAAUCCGAAAAUAUGAUAAUUCACCACUCAAUCUGGCCAGGCUCAAGAGCAAAUCACCCGUAUUAGAGAUUUCUACCCAACAUAUAUGUCUAAGGUCCCCAACAAUAAACAAUUGUUUCACACUUAAUAAGCCAAUCCCCACAGUCCGAGAACCUUCUCCCGGCACGAGCUCAAUAGGAGCUCUGAUACCACCUGUGACGAUCCCACCUACCCCUAAGACGUACCAAAGGGUUCGGCGGACCGUCUGCCCAACUCUUGCCAGGACUCACUCACAAGCUCACGCGAAUCACGUACAUACGCAUCCAUGAACCAUAAAUAACAUCCACGAUUCAAGCUUAUAAUAUACAUGGAUAGGAAACAGGAUACAAAGUCUCGAUAUACUCAAACUAGUUCAAAGCGUAUACAAUCCAAGUACAAAACAAUCCAUUCGAGGAAUGGCGCGAGUACAAGUCAAAAUUCAAAACAAAAUCAAGAGCAACUAGACUACGCUAGCCUUUAUACGUCUCACGCUUCACUCGUACCCCUGUAAGGAAAACAAACUAACGGGGUGAGCCAAAACUCAGUGAAGUUCCCAAAUAUCAAAUUGGUCAACAAAUCAAGUGAUAACAAAGUAAUAGUGAAAUAGCGAGCAAACAAGUCAAAUCAGGAAAAUAGUACUUCAGCUAGCCAAGUAAUAUCAGGUUCACAUUCACAUGUAAGGAUACAGUAACCCAUAUCACGGCUCCAUUCCAGCUUGGUCAAGUGGUAGUUGACACUCCGCCAACUUUCAAGUCAUAACAAGUCCAAAAUAAAACUCCACUACACGUCAAUCUCUGUCCACCAAUCAACCCCCUUUUCCGGGCCCGCACGCCACACGAAACACGGGUGGUAAUACUCGAGUAUACCGUUUAGUCGAGAAGAUAACACUCCACUCGACAUUACAAGUGACCCAGGGUUUGUUAUCUAAUCGACCAGGCCCUUGCCGGCUCGACUCGAUUAACUAGCCACAGGGUUUCUGGAAUUCCAGACAAGACAUAUCUCAAGUACAUGUAGAGCAAGUCAAGUGUAAUCAAUAGCAAGAACAAGUCAUAUUGGGACAAGUGCGGUAAAGUACACCCUUGCCCUAUCAUUCAUUUUCAUGUAAUCAUACAAUUCAAGUAAGGAACACAUGUAUCAAGUACAAUCGGAUAUUUGGAAGCACUCACCAAAAUAUAGUGCUUCAAGUAUUCACGUUCACUUAUACUCCAGACUUGGAGUCCAGAUCUGCGAUAAAAAUCCAAUUUGAGAACUUUGAAACACGAGUAAGAUUCGAAACUUAAACGUUCCGUUCAUUAAGAAUCGUCCAAUUGAAAUUCAUUUGAAAGACAUUCGUGAAACACUUGCUCGCUUUUCAAAUCGUAAGGUUUUUGUAACAUAUAUACUUGGAAACAACACUUGAGUUGAAAGUACAAGGAAAUACAAGUUUAUAUUGACCAUUAUGUCUUUUCCUCAAGGGUAUAAGUUCGGCUAGGUUUUAACGUAUAACCCUCGAACCAAGAUAGCCAAAGUCCUAGGUGGUUCAAGUACUAUUCAUCUUAACUUGACCCAAGUCGCAAGUGUAUUUCUAUAGCCCUCGAGCGUAAAUUUGGGCAGCAUGCCCUUUGUGUUUACCUAAUUUCCAACCAUUUAUGGCUUCAUUCUUACUCAAUCCAACCCAACAUUGUACACAAAACAAGUCCAGAACACAAAUUCAGUUCAAUAGCCAUUCCAUAGGCUCACAACAACACAAGAGCAAAGAUUAAGCUAAUAUCAGGUGCGGAAAUGAAACUUAUCAAAAGACAGUUUUGACGGGUUUUACGGAAAUAACACAUCCGAGGCUACGUUUAUCGGAUUGAUACGUAACUUAUACCAUUUCGAAGCUAAGACGAAAGCCUACAACUUUCAUGAAGAGCACUCAGUCAAAGUUUCAAUGUAACCUGAUCAAAUUCCCAACUCACGUAACCUGGUUUCAACUAUUCGGCUAAUCAACUGCACUGCACUCAAAUGACCAUAACUCAGUCUACCGAGGUCCGUUUAAGACGUUCUUGGCAGCAUUACAAAGAUAAGACAGGGCACUAAAACUUUCAUGUUUUAACAAAUGACUAAAUCCGAACGGAUUAUAGUGAAUAAACUCAAUCAAAAGGACUGAACUGUCCACGCGGAACUCUGGAAAGUGACCUAGAUCAGCGAGGGUAUUUUCAUCUUUUCACAAGCUACGUUGCUCCGAUUGAGCUGAAAUUUUGUAGAUAGCUAUAAAAUACCAUUCCCUACAACUUUCAUGUUUUGAUCUAUGGCCAAUUCAGCCUCUAACAUGGAGCAACAAAAACGGGCAGAAAAGGGGAAAAUUUUCUAGAAAUCUGGAAUUUGUUGAUCUUCAAUGAAACUUUCUCAAAUUUCUUAUUCCAAUCACUACCAAAGCCCCUUAUAUAAUCUUAUAUACAACAUAUAUUAAUCAUACUUCCAAUUUGGCAGCAAUUCCCCAAAUCCUAACUCAUGUGUCCACAAAGAAAACAACCCCCAAAACAUGCUAACAACCGUUAUUCAGCACAAACUUGAGUUGCUAAGCUAAUUUACACAAGAUUUAAAAGAUCAAGGACCAUGAUCAGAUUUAAUACCUCAAAGACAAGUUUGGAUGAGUUAUAAUCCACCUCCUUUGAAAAUUUCUGGUUCCUCUAGCUUCCCCUACUCACAAUUAGCACUUUAAUCGGUUUGGAAUCGAUUUUCUCACUUGGUUUGGCUAAGAUUCAAGAAGAAAGAAGUUGUUUUCUUGCUCUCACUUUCUCUCUCUCUCUUUGGUCGGCUCUUCAGCAGAAAAAUGAAGAGAAAAGGUGCAAUUUAGGGGAUAAGAAGGAAGACUAAUGUCUUGGUCAAGAAACCCUUAGGUAGCGACACUUGGUGCCACCACCUCCUCUCAUUUUUCUCUUUCUUUUUCUUGCUAUUUUGAGCCCUAAAUUUCGGUCAAGAUAGCUGGCAAAUGGAAGAUAUUUUGCUCAAGUAUUAAUGGGGUUGUAUGGUAAGAAAGUGGUGGUCAAGUGAUGCGUUCAAUCGAUAGUGCGCGGGACCCGCCGGUUCGUGCCGUUUUUCUUAAAAACACACAUACAUACUAGGGUUUUUACUUCCUAUUCACCAACCUUAUCUCAUUGCUCCUAAUCACAUAUUAUUUCUCAUUUAAAAGUCACUUUUAAUCACCAAAUUUGAUCCUUGCUCCAUACCGAAAAUUCAUCCGGCGGAAAAAAUAUCACGAAAACCCUAAUUUGCCCCAAUCUUGGAAACGAAGAGUGAAACCCUAUUUUCUAGAUUCAUCUGCACUUAUUGUUGAACAAUUGGGUAGCAGGGCUUUAAUAAAUAAUAAUUUUCUAAUAAAAGGCAUUUUUUUUUGAGAAAAAUAUAAGAAAUUUGCGGGUCCUCACAAUAUGUAACUUCAAUCAUCAAUUAUAAUAGACUAAUUAGAAUACCAGAAAUUAAAACCGCAAAAUGUUUACACUCAGAAGUGCUAAAACUCAUGUUACUUUUAUAAUAGUAAAAUGAUAAAAUUAGAGGGUUGGCUUUAAUAUGAUCAUGUUACUGAUCCUUACGAACUUAUAAUUGAAUCGGAUCUUAUUUUAGAUCCAAACUCUGUGUAAUUCUGUAACACGAGCUCCCCGCCCACGUAAAAAAAUUGCUUUUUAAAAUAGCACUAUUAAAAAGCAUGCGUUAAAUUUAAAAUGAUGAUUCUUAUUUUAAAACAUUAAUAAAGUAAAAACAUGAUAUUAGCAAUGGAAUUAAAUAAACAUAAUUUUCAAUCGAGAACUGAAGAAUAAUAAGAUAUCCAACCCGGCUGAUAAUCGGCUCAUUGGUUUGCUAACUGGUCCGAAUCUGCUCAUUGGUUUACAUCACAAAGAUAGAUGGAGUAGUUACAUAGUACAAUUGCAACGCGAUCAUUGGAAUACUUAAUUUUAAGUGGUAUACUAAAGUUAAUGAAAAAGAAGAAGAGAAAGAUAUAAAACAUUCGUUCAUUCCUCAAUCUUCGAGAUCAAUCUCUUUUUUAUACUGGGAUUUAAAAGUGGAUGUUCAAUGACAAAGGAGCAAAUUACACUUUAUCUCCUGUGGUAUAACUAAUUUUUACAUAACCCCAUAUAGUUUUAAAAAUUAUAUAUAAUCCUCUCAUAAUUUGGAUUAAAGUGUCAAACUGACGGAAACAAUCAUCUGUUAUGGAACCUAUGAGAAUAUCGAAAUUACAUUUAUUUAAAAACUAAAUGACUGAAGUAAUUAAAAUAUAUAAAUAUAAUAUGCAUGACGCUCAAAUCUUAUAUGAUUUUCUAUUUUACCAUAUAACUCUUUUAGAUUUAGUGUUUUACCAUAUAACUUCCUUAUGAUUUAGUGCUAUACUAUAUAUCUCCCUUAUAAUUUUCAAUAAAUAUAUAUAACCCCCCGUGGUUAAUAAAUAAAUUUCAACUUUACAUAAAUGUAUUUUUGACAUUUAGUUAACUCCGUUAUGAAUUGCAAUUUUCAUUACUCUGAUAUCUUAAUCUAAAUGAUGAGAAGAUUAUGUAUAUCUUUUGAAACCAUAGAAGAAUUAUGUAAACAAAUACUAAACUGCAGGGGCAUAAAGUGUAAUUUGCCCAUGACAAAGACACCGAGUUGAAAGAAUUAAAAUUGCAACUUAGUUGUCACCAUUGGGUUCCAUCAGAUAGUCUACUGGACACUAUAGGCAAAAGGGCUUUCUUUUCCCAAGCCUUCAACAUUUUUUUUUUUUAAAUAAAAGUUUGAAUGAGUUCAACUCGGAUCACCACCAUAAAUCAGAGCAUACAUGAUAUUAUAGGCAAAAGGGAUUUCUUUUCCCAAGCCUCCAACAUUUGUCCUUUUUUUUUGCUAAUAAAAGUUAGGGCAAAUUCCACUUUACCCUCCUGUGAUUUAGCAUUUUUUUACAUAACCCCCCUAUAGUUUCAAAAACUAUAUAUAAUCCUCUUAUGGUUUGGAUUAAUGUGUCAAAAUGACGGGAAUGAUCAUUCGUAACGGAAUCACCUAAAAUAUCAAAAAUACCCUUAUGUAAAGUUGAAAAUUAUUUAUUAACCAAGGGAGGUUAUGUGGAUAUUUUGAAAAUCAUAAGGGGGUUAUAUGGUAAAGUAUUAAACCAUAAAGGGGUUAUAUAGUAAAAUAUAAAAAUCAUACGGGGUUAAUAUGUCAUGUAUUUAUAAGGGUAAUUUCGACAUUUUUAGAAAUUCCGUUACGAGUGACUAUUUCUGUUAUUUUGACACUUUAAUCCAAAUCAUGAGGAGGUUAUGUAUAGCUUUUGAAACCAUAGGAGGGUUAUGUAAAAAAAUGCUAAACCACAGAGGGGUAAAAUGUAAUUUGCCCUAAAAGUUAUAAUGGGUUCGACUCUAAUCACCAUCACAAGCCAAAGCAUGUUUUUGGAAUCAUAGAUUAUUGAUAAUCAUUUUUACAUCGAGUACGAAAUUCGAAUAUAUGACCUUUCGUAAAGAAAUGGUUCGUUCUUUUAACUAUUGUUAUUUUUGCAGCAAAUGAUCUAUAGAACUCAAAAAGAUUUCACCCAAAAAUUAUAGGAGAUAAAUUUCACAAAAACUAAUGUAGAUGAGGAGGCAAUUUACACAAUAUAUAUGAGAGAAGAGGAAUAAUGCUAAUGAUAAUAUAUUAACCAGACAUCAUAAUAAUAAUGUUAUUAAAUUUUAAUCUUCUUGACAAAUCACAAUAUCAAUAAUAUCGUAACUGAAUUCAAAUAAAAUUACUAAGACCGUAACUUGACACUGUUAAAUAAUAAUAUAAAAAUUUCUAUGUUUGAGUCUUGAUUUAGUAUGCUAACAUGAUCAUAUACCACAGCUUUUAGUGCGUGGACACAACCUCUGACAGUAAUUUGGUUACCUGAUGAGAUAAAAGUAAACCACCACACUGCAGAGGAUGGAUUAAUUUGAAAAAAAAAGAAGGAAGAAUGGGAUGCUUUGUAGUUCAGAGUAACUAACUAUCAGUUUGAGAAGCCGCGUCAGGCAUAAAUUUUCUCUAUGGAGUUCUAUGAAAACAUUGAAACGUUCAGAUUUUUGGAUUAAAAGUAAAAAAAUAGUAGUCAAAUCUUGUAGAACAUCCGGUAGUUAAUGUAUUUGAUUUGUCUUAGGUUCGAUUCUGUUUAUUCCAAAAAAAAAAAAAGAAAUGAAAAUGCUGAUGCGCGAACUCCUGGGCUUAAUUUCAGCCAGGUUUCAGGUCAAAUAUGCUACUUUGAAACAGUAGAAGAAUGUUUUAUCUUUCCGUAAAGGGAAUUUCGCCAUUUUCAUCCCUAAACUUUUACACUAAAACCAAUUUCAUCCUUUAUGAUUUUUUUUAGCCAAUUUAGCCCUUCGACUAUUUUGAAGUCUCUAAUGUAGGACUUUUGCGGCGGCGACACCACAUUUUACAUAUUCCCUACCACCGGUGAUGGGUGUAUCUGUCUUUUGAAAUUAAAUUCUUCAAUUUAGACGGAUUUUGACCAUAGUUCUUCUUCUCCGAUAGACACCUCAUCCCAUUCACCAGAAAUUCGCGCAAACUCUCUCACACACUCAAAUCAUGAAAUAAAAUUCACAAGAAAAAAAACAAAAAAUCAAGAACCAUAAGAAAAGUGAAGCAAACAUACUCUCAAGCAGAAGACGUCAUUUACGCUGACCUGGACGAGAUGACGAGCAAGGUGGCAUCCGAGAGUGGAGUCAGCAGAGUUGAAAGGAAUGGGAGAUUGGUGGAUGGUAACGGCGCCAUUGGUGGGGAGACAACUGAUGUCGUUGCUGAGUGGCUUACACGUGUCCAAUGCUCCGAUCUUAGUGUCCAUGUUUUCGACCAUGAGACGAGGACGGCGACGUCUAAGAUGUCGGUUGUAGAUGUAAGUAAAGAGUAGCGGUACAAUAAAAUAGAAAGUUCCAUAAAGUUGGGGAGAAAAGAUGGAAUUCCAAUCCGUGGAGCUAUUAUGAUAUUUACCUUUGCUCUUUCUUUUUUUUUUGGUGGGUUCGAUAAGGAAGGGAAAUUUUUUUCUUUUUUUUGCCUUGAGGCAGGUCUUGGCUUUUCUUUUGGAAUGGGUGGUGAUCGGAGCAUGAAUGUGGGAGCGCAAGUGUGUGUGUGUGUAUAUAUAUAUACAUGGUUGGCUGGAUGAUCUCAGUUCUUAGAGCUCAGAGGGGUUACUAAACUUACUAUGGCAGAAGGAAAAACAAACGGAGAAACCGGAAACUAGGGGCGGUCUCAUCUUUUAACAAAGGGUGCCUGAUUAUUUUGGUAUGGCGGUGGGAAUCGGGUUGAGGCACGCCGCAUGUCUUAAAGGAGAAAUGGCUCUCAAACAUACUCUUAGCCUCAGGUCAACUUACAAACUCAUUUUGUUUGGGCAUUUUGUCAAAUAGAUUAAGCUCAUCACAAAAAUUGAAUAUUUCGUAUGAAUUUUGACUAUGGCUAAGCCGAAAAAAUCUUGUCAAGCCUCAUUCAGGCAGAAAAGGUCAAAAGAAACAACAAAAUUGCAGUAAGUAUCAUUGUCCAAUUUCAUUCAUCUACAAAACAAAGCAUACGGGAAGAAGAUGGCAAUUUCAACAGCCAAAAAAAUCAUCUCAACCUAGAGAUUAAAACAAAAAAAGGAUUCUGGAAACCGCACAUGCUUUCUUCAUGAUGAUCUGUAAGUAGUGGUGGUUCUAGCAAGAAGAUAGCAACUCCGGCAAUGGUGAUGGCGGUAGCGAGCUCCCCUUGCUCCUCGGAUUCCCUUAAUGCUUUUGUUGGUUUUCUGUUUUUGGUUCUUUUCUUCUUUUCUUGGAAAGAAAAUUGAGUAUACAACUCUACAACUAAGAUUCCGCAAGGAUUUUGGAGAGAUUCUUUUGAGUUCAUAUGAAACUCAAGGUGAAAAAUGAAUGAUGACUAGUCAUGAGAGAGUUGACAGAUGAAAGCGGGUAGGUAGUGACAAUUGGUGGUGUCUUUGCUAGCAACUAUGAACGAAGGAUUGAAGAAUCAGAACCAAACAAAAUGAGCUUGCCGGUGAGUAGAUUUAAAAUUGUGUAUGAGAAAGAUUUCUCCUUCAAAUUUUGUUUCAAUUUUCCUUUUGGUUCUCAGUUUUCUAAUGUUUUUCUCGUGGAUUUUGUUUCUUUGAUUUGAGUGUGUGAGAGAGAGUUUGUGCAAGUUUCUAAUAAAUCCAGAUAAAAUUUUCAGUGAAAUUCAUCGGAGAAGAAGAACUAUGGUCAAAGUCCGUCUAAAUUGAAGAAUUUAAUUUAAAAAGACAGAUAUACCCAUCACCGGUGGUAGGGAAUAUGUAAAAUGUGGUGUCGCUGCCGCAAAAGUCCUACAUUAGAGACUUCAAAAUAGUCGAAGGACUAAAUUAGCUAAAAAAAAUCAUAAAGGACGAAAUUGAUUUUAAUGUAAAAGUUUAGGGAUGAAAAUGGCGAAAUUCCCUUCCGUAAAAUUAAUUAUACCAACAUUUCUAUCCGCUGUUAUAGUUUCUGAUGCUUUUAUUGGCGAUACUGAUUCAGAUAGUAAAGCUUUACGGAGCCAACUGCAAGCGCCAAAGGUUGGUCUCGGGAGCAAUUUGCUGUGUUAUAGGAUUUUACCUAAAGUUUAGUUUAUUGAGUUGACUUGUCAGCUGCAAUAAUGACGGCGGACAAAUGGUAACUGACUCUCAAGUUUAAGCCGCGUGGUGAGCUUGAUUCAGAGUCAUAGAGCAGUCAACUGGGACAAUAUAUUAAUAUUAAGCUGACUCUACCUCCCUCAAAUACUGAUAAAGCUCUAAAAAAGUUUAGUUUAGGGUAAAUUCUACUUUAUCCCCCAGAAUUUAGUAUUUAUUACAUAACCCCCUAUGAUUUCAAUAGUUAUAUAUAACUCCCUCAUGAUUUGGAUUAAAGUGUCAAAGUGACGGGAAUGAUUAUUCGUAACGGAAUCACCUAAAAUGUCAAAAAUACCCUUAUAUAAAGUUGAAAAUUAUUUAUUAAUUAAGGGAGGUUAUGUGUAUAUUUUUAAAACCAUAAGAGGAUUUUAUGGUAAAAUAUUAAAUCAUAAGGGGGUUAGUGUGUCAUGUAUUUAUAAGGGUAAUUUCGACAUUUUUAGAAGUUCCGUUACAAAUGACUAUUUCCGUCACUUUGACACUUUAAUCCAAACUAUGAGGGGGUUAUGUAUAACUUUUGAAACCAUAGGAGGAUUAUGUAAAAAAUAAAGAGACUAAACCACGGGGAUAAAAUGUAAUUUGCCCUUUAGUUUAUCAUAAUCAAACACAUGGAUUUCAUCAUGCAUGACGGCUUCAUGAAUAUGACAAGAGCCACGUUUGGGUUUAAUUUUCUUAUGGCAUGACUUGGUCUAAAUAUCUAGGAAGAAUGCAAAAAUCUUGUAUUGCCCUAUUAGAUUCCCAGAUAUAAACAAUUUGUGGAGGGAAUGAAAUGGAGUUAGAUUAUUAGAUUGUUCAUCAUCAAUGAUAACUUCUCAAUCACCAAGGAGGGGAUCCCUUUUUCUACUGCUUGCUUGCUUCUGUUUAGAAGCUUGUACAGCGGUGGAUUAUAUAACAAUCACUCAGCCUCUGCAGGACUCCGAAACUGUAGUUUCUUCAGGCCAGACUUUCAAAUUAGGAUUUUUCAGUCCUGCAAAUAGUAGUGAUCGAUAUGUUGGAAUCAUGUUCAAUGUUCCUGCAGUUGCAGUAGUAUGGGUGGCUAAUAGAGACAGACCAUUAAAUGAUUCAUCAGGAACUCUGACAAUCUCAGGAGACGGCAAUCUUGUGGUCUUGAAUGGGCAGAAGGAGAUACUAUGGUCAUCUAACGUUUCAAAUUCUGUGGCAAAUUCUACUGCACAACUCUUGGAUACUGGAAACUUCGUUUUGACAGACAAUCCCAGUGGAAGAACUCUGUGGGAAAGUUUUCAGAUUCCGACAGACUCAUAUCUCCGGCGGAUGAGAUUAAGUUCAAGUACGAAAGGCCAGAAAAUACGAUUGACCUCUUGGAGAAGUCCUUCUGAUCCAUCUAUCGGAAGUUUCUCCCUAGGUAUUGAAGCCAAGCAAAUUCCACAACUCUUCAUUUGGAACGACAAUAAACCUUAUUGGCGCAGUGGUCCAUGGAACAACAAUGUCUUUAUUGGAGUUCCUGCCAUGGAUCCAGUUUAUCUAAAUGGUUUUAACCUGGUAACGGAUGAUGCAGGAUUGGUGUCUGCUACCUUCACGUAUUCAAAUGAUAGUGGUUUGUUGUACCUUGAAUUGAGUUCCUCAGGGUCUGUACUGCAGAAAGUUUUAUCAGAUAGAAAAGGGGAUUGGGAGGUUACAUGGUCAAGCCAAGGAAGUCAAUGUGAUGUCUAUGGCAUAUGUGGACCUUUUGGAAGCUGCAAACCCCAUGGUUCACCUAUUUGUACAUGUUUGCAAGGUUUUGAGCCUAGAGAUAAGGUGGAAUGGGAAGGAGGAAACUGGACUAGUGGUUGCACAAGAAGGGCAAUGCUACAAUGUGAGAGAAAUAAUUCUGUUCGUUCUGAGGGCAAACAAGAUGGAUUCUUGAAGCUCCCAAACACUAAAGUUCCAGAUUUGGCUGAAUGGGUCGCAACUUCAGAAGACGAAUGUGGUACUCAGUGCUCAAAUAAUUGCUCCUGUUUAGCUUAUGCCUCUUAUCCAGGCAUUGGCUGUAUGCACUGGACGGGAAGCUUAAUUGAUAUACAGCAGUUUCCCUCUUCUGAUGGGGCAGAUUUAUACAUACGUGUGCCUUAUUCUGAACUUGGUAAGACACUUCUUAUUACAAUGUUUUAGUAACUCUGUACUCUUAAUGUAGCAUUUUACUUUCUGCUUCUGCAUUCAAAUAGGAUUUGAAUUCGAUCAAGGCUAUAUUUUGGAAUGUAACUAAGUUAUCAAAUCCCCUUCACUUCUUUUUACAUUUUUUCUAUAGAUUCUACAAGAAAGUCAAAAUGACAUAGAAUUGCAUUUGGCUAGUUCUUUCUCGAUAGUAGCUUUCUGAAGAUGCUUUGAAACUUUGACAUUUAUAGGCAAGAAAAGGGACAUGAAAGCAGUCAUUGCAACCUCAGUAAUUGCAGCAUCUUUAUCCUUUGCAUUGUCUGCAUACUUUUGUUGGAAGUGGCUGGCUAAGCGGAAGGGUAUUACUCUGAUUUUAGCUUCAUUUUUCAGACAUUGUUUUUCCUCAUCAUAAAUUUACCAAGCACUAUUUCAUGAUAAGCACAGGGAAACAAGAUCAGAUUUCAUUAAUUGAAGCAGGGGAAGUAUAUAAUGUCGAAAGCUUGUUUAGCGACAACUUGGAGCAACCCAAGCUUGAAGAGCUACCACUUUAUAGUUACGAAACUUUAGCUAAUGCAACAGAUGAUUUUGAACCAAAAAGUGAGCUUGGAAAAGGUGGCUUUGGCCCUGUCUACAAGGUACACAUCCUCAGCUGCAUGUGGUGUUUUCUAUGGUUGAAUACAGCAAAUGUAACGGUUAUGUAACUGCAGGGAAAGCUAUCAGAUGGACAGGGGAUAGCUGUGAAAAAGCUUUCAAAAUCUUCUGGUCAAGGAACUGAGGAGUUUAUGAAUGAGGUUAUGGUGAUUUCUAAACUUCAACAUCGAAAUCUUGUUAGACUUCUUGGCUGCUGUGUUGGAAGAGAAGAAAAAAUGCUUGUGUAUGAAUACAUGCCAAAUAAGAGCUUGGAUACCUAUCUCUUUGGUUAGUCAAUCUGGUGUUUCUUUUUCCAAUGUGGUUACUAAAGUUCCAUAGAACCGUCUUUCUUUAUGGAACCCAACACAGUUUCAUAAACCUAUGAUGAUUUUAGUCCUCCUGAUCUUUUCAGAGCCAUCGAAACGUGGUUUACUUGAUUGGAACACCCGCAUUAGCAUCAUUGAGGGGAUUGCAAGAGGCCUCCUUUACCUUCACAGGGAUUCAAGAUUGAAAAUUAUUCACAGGGAUCUAAAAGCAAGCAACAUCCUCUUAGAUGACCAGCUUAAGCCAAAAAUAUCAGAUUUCGGCUUAGCAAGAAUUUUCGGCGGCAACCAAGAUCAAGCAAAUACCAACAGGGUUGUAGGAACCUAGUAAGCACAUACUGCUAAAAUUAUAUCCUAUAAUGCAACUUCCGUAGAUUAACUUUGUUCUUACGUCCCCAAAUUAUGUGAUAACAGUGGCUACAUGGCCCCUGAAUAUGCAAUGGAGGGAAGAUUUUCAGAAAAGUCAGAUGUUUACAGUUUCGGAGUGCUAUUAUUGGAGAUUGUAAGUGGAAGGAGAAACACAGGCUUUUACCAUGAUGAGUACGAGCUCAGCCUUUUAGGAUAUGUAAGCUUGUUUCUUUAUUAGGACUGCAAUUCUAAAGAUUCAUUUCCAUUUCUAACAUUUCAAUCUCUGAACUCCAAAAUUCAUCAACUUGCCAAAAUUUUCAGGCCUGGAAAUUGUGGAAUGGAAAUGAUAUAACAAAUUUGAUAGACCCGUUGAUCUUUGAUCCAUGCAUCGAAGUGGAGGUCAUGAGAUACGUACAUGUAGGACUACUAUGCGUGCAAGAAUAUACAAAGGAUCGGCCAAAUGUCUCAACUGUUCUGUCAAUGCUGAAUAGUGAAAUUGCAGACCUUCCUCGUCCUAAUUUACCAGCUUAUAUAGGAAGAUUGGGUGCUUCAGCCGGAUGUCCUCAAAAAAGCACAGAUUCUGUGAAUGGUGCAACUCUAACAGGUGUUCAAGGCAGAUAGCACAUCCCAAUACAUGUUUUUUUUUCCUUUUGGGGGUAAGUGUUUUUCAUCUUUCGAGUGCACAGAAGAUGUGAAGCACAUUGAUGUUGUUUUAGAGGGUAAUGGAAAAAAAAAUUCGGUUAUGCUGCCAUUCCUUGUCGAACAAUGAAUUUUUUGGUUCAAAUUGCCUUUUGUACCUUAAAUCAAAGAAUGGCUAAUUGUCUGGAUGCUAUUGAGAAUAACAACUUAUAAAUUAAUGAGUGGUGUGUGUUUCUCAACAAACUUGGAAUGCUAAAAGAACAAAAACCAAAAUGUUCUUUGAUCUCAUUAUCUUCCUGUCGUUGUCCUGUAUGUCCUGAGGUUAAGGGCACAACUUCUAAAAGGACCCACAAAGACGAAUAUAAGUGUAGAUUUUUUCCUUGAACCAAUUUCCGCGAUUAUUAUCUCCAAUUUUGCUUUAUAGAAGUUGAAUCCCGUCUCGUGAGAUUGUCACUUUAUAAAAUUUUUUUGUCGCAUAAAUACAGUGCCAUCAUGGGGUCUAAAUGUUGACUUUGAAACAUGAAUGCAUAUGUCCAGCUAUCUGAAUUGUUGCGGGUGAAUGAAGGAAAACUUGCCAUCAAGAAAUAUCCAGCAGCAACGCGGUUUGAAUAGAAAGAGAAAGGAGUCAAAUGUGAAGUGUCGAAACUCAGAAGUUAUUUGCAAAAAAAUGAUAGACCAUUUUCUCUGCAGCAGGAGAAUGAAGGAACUUACAAACUUAGUACCUCUACUACUCCUGUUUGCUUGCUUCUGCACAGAAGAUUGCAGAGCUAAUGAUACCAUUACAAUCACUAAGCCGAUUCGUGACCCCGAAUCUGUAGUCUCCGCAGGACAAACCUACAAAUUGGGAUUUUUUAGCCCUGCAAAUACUAGUAAUCGAUAUGUUGGAAUCAUUUUCAAUAAUUUUCCUCAACAGACUGUUCUUUGGGUAGCUAACAGAAACCAACCCUUGAAUGAUUCUGGAGGAAUAUUUUCCAUUUCAGAAGAUGGAAACCUUACGGUCCUGAACGGGCAGAAAAAGGUUUUAUGGUCUUCUAAUGCUUCAAAUUCGGUGGCAAAUUGCAGUGCACAACUCUUGGAUACUGGGAACUUAGUCCUGAGAGACAACUCAAAUGGAAUGAUUCUAUGGGAAAGUUUUCGGCAUCCUACAGACACCAUUGUCUGCAAAAUGAGACUAGGGGCAAGCACCAAGAACAAGAACCGGCUUACCUCAUGGAAAAGUCCUUCCGACCCAUCUAUUGGAAGUUUCUCUCUAGGUUUUGAUCAUCCAGGAAUUCCAGAAGUCUUCAUUUGGGAUCAGAGUAAGCCUCUUUGGCGCAGUGGUCCAUGGGAUGGCAACGUCUUCAUUGGAGUUCCUGGCAUGUAUUCAGGUCGACACGUGUUACAUAUGGUGAAUGAAAAUACAGAUUCUGCAUCCCUUACCUACGAUUGCUUCAAUGAUUCUGUUUUGACAUACUACCAUGUAUUGACUUCCUCUGGGAUUUACCUGGAGAACGUUUGGAACAAUGACCUAGGAGAUUCCACGGUAACAUGGUCAAGUCGAAAGAGUGAAUGUGAUGUCUAUAGCAAAUGCGGCCCUUUUGGAAUAUGUAAUCCUCAGGGUUCGCCAAUUUGUACAUGCUUGAAAGGUUUUGAGCCAAGAGACAAGGAGGAAUGGAACAGAGGAAACUGGACUGGUGGCUGCUUAAGAAAGGCAUUGCUGCAAUGCCAGGGGAACAUAUCUGGUGGUCAGGAGGCCAAACCAGAUGGGUAUUUAAAGCUCAAUAACGUAAAAGUUCCAGAUUCCUCUUACUUAGUUGGCGUCCUCAACCUCAUAAGGGAGGAAGAAUGUGGUGAUGAGUGCUCAAACAAUUGCUCUUGCAUAGCUUAUGCAUAUCCCAAGGGCGUUGGAUGUAUGCACUGGAGUGGCCAUUUGAUAGAUGUACAACAAUUCCCUUUUGAUGGGACAGAUCUAUAUGUGCGUGUGGCUUAUUCUGAACUUGGUAAUUAUUUUUCCAGCCCCUUAUUCAUUACUUGCAUCUUGUAUAUAUGGAUGUGAUCCAGUCUCUGAGUAGUGAAAUCUUCUUAAGCUGUGUUGAUAAUUUAUUGCACAAAUCUACCUCAAAAUGAUGCUAAAAUUUGAUAUGAUGGCACAUGUCUAGUUCCUUGUAAAUUCUCAUAAUCUGCUUUGAACCACCUGAAAUGCAGAUCACACCAAAAGCAAAAGUCACAAGAAAGCAGUCAUUGCUAGCAUAGUUGUUGUGAUAUCUUUGUUCGUUGCUGGUUUUGCAUAUUUCUUAUGGAAGUGGUUGCCUUAUCAUAGAGGUAAAGCGCUAGAUUAGCAAAGAUAAAGUCACGACAUAUUCCCUACAUGCAUUGGCAAUAUGGAGAAGGUGCACAAACCUAACUUUCACUAUUUGAAGCAGGUGAAACAAUCAUCAGAAUGAAAGACAUGCUCAGCGACAGUGAAGAUCAGCUUCAUCUGUACGGUAAUGAGACACUGGCUAACGCAACAAAUACUUUUCAUGUGGAAAUCAAGCUUGGGAAAGGUGGUUUUGGUUCAGUCUACAAGGUAUAUCAAGUGUUCGUUCGUUCGUUUUUUUGCAGAACCUUAUGCAGUUUGGACUGUAAAGAACUCAAUAAUAGUGUAGCACACAUAUGCAGGGGAAACUGAUAGACGGCCAGGAAAUUGCAGUGAAAAGGCUUUCAAACUCUUCGACUCAAGGGAUCGAGGAGUUUAAGAAUGAAGUUCUGGUCAUUUCAAAACUCCAACACCGAAAUCUUGUCAGACUUCUUGGGUGCUGUGUUGAAAGAGAGGAGAAAAUGCUGGUCUAUGAAUUCAUGCCAAACAAAAGCCUGGAUGCCUAUCUAUUUGGUUAGCUGGUUAUAAUUUCCUGUACCGAAAUGUUGAUUACUAGGAUGUCUUCUACCAUAUUUACAGAAUUGUUGAUGGAUGAUCGUCUGACUAAACAAUAAAACUGUACUCACAUUCUGCCUGAUUUCAGAUAUAUGCAAGCAUGAUUUACUUGCUUGGAAUAGACGCACCAUCAUCAUUGAAGGGAUCUGCAGAGGCCUUUUGUACCUUCAUAGGGACUCGAGAUUGAAAAUUAUCCACAGAGAUCUUAAAGCCAGUAAUAUUCUCUUGGACGGGGAGCUGAUUCCAAAAAUAUCAGAUUUCGGCUUAGCAAGAAUUUUCAGAGGCAACCAAGAUCAAGACAAUACGAACAGGGUUGCGGGGACAUAGUAAGCACGUACCAGUUAUCUCAGUUCAAUCAUGGAAACUCCAAAACCCCCCCCCCCUCUCUUUCCCCCUCCCAUUUCUGUUGAGUUUAAGCAUAAAUCAAUUUCACCCCUUGUUGAUAACGGGAUGCAGUGGCUAUAUGGCCCCAGAAUAUGCAAUGAGAGGAAAGUUUUCUGAAAAGUCAGAUGUCUACAGCUUUGGAGUGCUGCUGUUGGAGAUUGUGAGUGGAAAGCGAAACACUAGCUUUGGUAACGAGGCGAAUGAUCACAGCCUGGUAGAAUAUGUAAGUUUCUAUACAUGGCGAUUCCCAUAUGCGAAAUUCAUUCCACUUUUAUACAACUCAUGAUUAAUUUCAGUUGCAUUUUGUUCUCAUAAUUUUCAGGCCUGGAAACUGUGGAAUGCAGGUGAAACAGUGAAAUUAAUCGAUCCAAGAAUUUUUGAUCCGUGCAUUGAAAUGGAGGUCUUGAGAUACAUCCAUGUUGGACUAUUAUGUGUGCAGAAGCAUGCCAAGGAUAGACCAAACGUGUCCAAUGUUCUGUCAAUGCUUAACAGUGAAAUAGUUGAGAUCCCUUGUCCUAACUUACCAGCUUAUAAUGCCAUAUUUUGUCCUUCAAAAACUGUACAUCCUGAACAAGGUAUACAUUCCCCCAAUGAUGUCAGUAUAACAGCUGUCGUAGGCCGAUAGCACAUUUUACAGCAAUAUGGGCAAAGAUUAGUAGAAUACUGAGGUAUCCAAACAAACAAAUUAGGGUUUUCCAAAUCAUUUGUUCACUAGUGUUUCUUUAGAUUGUUCUAGUAAAAACCAAUUGCCAUUCUGAAGGUAUCAAUUUUAUUUUUUUUUCUUUAAUUUUUUUGAUCAAAUUUUAUAAUGACAUGUUUAACUAGGUUCUGAUUAGCAUUAACACUUUGUCUAACGCAUACAGUUUUAUUCCUGGUUGCAUUUAUAAACUCUCCCAUAUAAGUACACCUCCACAAAAUACUAAAAUAGGGAGAAUUAAUUGCAAUUUCAAUUCCUAGUAGUUGGCCUCUAUGUCAAACUCGUCCCUAAUGCAAAGACAAUACAACUCACUAUCAGUUAAUAAUCAAUAGCGCAAAAAAAAUAAUUAUGUAUAUUAUACCAGUUGAGACUGAUUAUGCAAACCAAAAAAUUUUGGCAGAGGAGCAAUUAAGGUCGGCCACAAUUUUGGACUCCCUAUUUCUCCUACUUUGUUACUCCUUUCAGGGAGUGAAUGAAUUUGACAUAUCCAACAUUAAGACAAUUCCUCCAGGACUGCACCUUCCUCUGGCCUAACUCUGAUGGCAGCACUGACAAGAAAAAGAAACAAUGAAUCUCCAGUCUCAAUGAGGGAAUCUUUUGUUCUUGUACUUGCUUGCUGUUUAACAGUUUGUACCGCCAUAGACACUAUUACUAUUGCUAGGCCUGUCCAAGACCAUGAAACUUUAGUAUCCUCCGGGCAAACCUUCAAGUUGGGUUUUUUUAGUCCUGCAAACGCCAGUAAUCGCUAUGUUGGAAUCAUGUACGAUAAUAUUCCUGGAACAACUGUUAUAUGGGUGGCUAACAGGGACAAACCUGUUAAGGAUUCUACCGGAAUUUUGACAAUUGCAGGAGACGGUAACCUUGUAAUCUUGAAUGGGGAGAGGGAGAUCAUAUGGUCUUCUAAUGCUUCAAAGUCUGUGGCAAGCUCAAGUGCCAAACUUUUGGAUACUGGGAACUUAGUCUUGACAGACAACUCAGAUGGAAGUACGAUGUGGGAGAGUUUCCAAAUUCCUACUGAUUCUUUGGUGCCAAAGAUGAGAUUAAGUGCGGGUGCAAAAGAGAAGCUCCAACUAACUUCCUGGAGAAGCCCUUCUGAUCCUUCCAUUGGAGAUUUCUCUGCAGGCCUUAACCUUUUCCGGCCGCAACAGUUCUUUGUUUGGGAGAUUAAUGUACCUCACUGGCGCAGUGGUCCACGGAGUGGUAAUACGUUCAUCGGAAUAGCUGGCAUGAGUUCUGCUUAUCAGAGUCGAUUUGAUCUGGUGGAGGACAAUUCAGGAUCUACUUAGUUUACCUACAACUCUGUAAAUAAUCCGGAUCUGUUCUACUACGCAUUGAAUUCCUCAGGGUGUUUACAGGCAAAGGUCUUAAUUGGUAAAGGAGAUUGGAGUGUAACGUGGUCAAGUCUAGAAAGCCAAUGUGAUAUUUAUGGCAAAUAUGGACCUUUUGGAAGCUGCAAUCGUCUACAGUCACCAAUUUGUACGUGUUUGCGAGGGUUUAAGCCAAGAGAUGAAGAGGAAUGGAACAGAGAAAAUUGGAGUGGUGGAUGCAUAAGAAAGGAAUUGUUGAAAUGUGAGAGAAAUCAAUCUUCCAGUAUAGAUGCCAAAGAAAAUGGAUUUGUGAGACUCCCAAACAUGAAAGUUCCAGAUUUCCUUGUGCUGGUAGUAUUCUCAGAAGAAGCAUGUGGUAGUUCUUGCUUGAAAAAUUGCUCUUGCACAGCUUAUGCAUAUUACAAAGGGAUAGGAUGUAUGCAUUGGCGUGGCAGCCUAAUCGAUGUGCAGCAGUUCUCCUAUGAUGGGGCAGACUUGUAUAUACGCGUACCUUAUUCUGAACUUGGUAAGAUAUAUCUUCUAUACACUAGUUAUAGUUACAUGUUUCACUUAUUAAUUGCUUAUACAUGUCUAAGGAUUUGUGCCCAGUUUUUUUUUUUUUUAAAAUAAAUUUUCAAUCAAUCCAAAAGUCCAGAACUGAUAAUUCUCACAUUUUUUUUGGAUCUAUUUGAAGUUAUGAUGAAAUUUGCUUGUGUUUCUACCAAAAAGGUAUCUAUAGUAGGGCCAAUUGACAGUCGCCACAUGUCAGCUCGGCCAUGGUGGCUUGCCAGCUCGGAACAGCCAGGUCUACUGGAGAGCACCAGCUCGGCCGACGCUGCCGCCUCUCCGUCAUGUGGGCCUAGUGGGCCGCGGCCUCCGGACCGUUCGGGGUAUUCACGCGAAACUCUAGGAAGACUCCAAACUCUAGAGGAUUCCAACUCCUAUAUAGAAACUACUACCCGCAAGCCUAUAAAUGUAGCUUCAUACGACGACACAAGGUACGCCAUCUACAGUACUCUAUAUUGUUACUUUACUCUCAAGCUCUCGCUGACUUGAUCGUCGGAGCUACUCCGGAAACAUCAGCCUAGCCGUCGAUUUUCUUGACAGGGCAGCUCGCUCGUUUUCCCCCUAUCAGCUCGAUCAGCCCCAAUCCGCUCAGCUCGGGUCUCGUCUUUGACAAUCGCAUUAAUUGGCACCAUCUGUGGGAAACACGUAAUUCUUCUCUUGCAAACCAUGCCAAGAACUAGGUCCCAGAGGAACGCUGACGGAUCCAAGGGGAACGAGCAAAGCGGCCCUUAGAAUCCCCCCCCCGGGGUCCAAUUCCAGGAGACGAAGGGACGGGGCUCUCAUGAAUCUCGCCUGAACAGCUAACUGGUGGAAAACCUAUCUACCUUUGAGGCAAUCAUGGACUACUUCAAAGAGCAGACGAGAGGCCAUCGUGACCAGAAGCUUAAGGCCCAAGGGGUGGAAGGAGUUGGGCUGUCCGAGUCCCGUACAGGGAGUCCUAACCCCCGGCCAAAGCGGGCGCGUAGGGAGCUCACACGUGAAUAGAUCGAGGUCGUGGAGCCUUCUCACAAGAACACCCGAACUGAGCACCUGGAGCCCUUCCGAAGGUUCUCAAAGGAAGAGCUCUCCCCACGGAAAGAGGAAUACCAGGUACAGGAUGAGCUGGACCUACUUUUGGACCCUGAGGCGGACAGGUACAUUGCCUCUCCCUUCGUGCCCGAUAUUGAGAGCUAUCCACUGCCCACGAAGUUGAAGAUACUGAGUAUGAAAUCCUACGAUGCGACCACGGAUCCGGAGGACCACCUAUUCGCAUUUUUGACACAAAUGCGCCUACAAAUGGCCGCAGACGCGAUCAGGUGCAAGACCUUCCCAAUGUUCUUGGAGGGGAAGACACGUCAGUAGUUCCGGGGGCUGCCUCCCAGGUCAAUUCGGUCUUUCAACCAGCUCGCGCGACUAUUAGCAACUCAGUUCGUUUCGUCGCGAGUCUUCUCCAAAAGCACUGCUUACCUGAUGACCAUCCAGCAAAGGCCCAAGGAAUACAAUGUUAGCGCGACUUUUAAUGUCACAGACUUGAGUCCAUUCCUUGGUGAGGAGGAUCCAGAUUUGAGGACAAAUCCUUCUCAAGUAGAGGAGAAUGAUGUGUGCACGGACCUUAGGCCAAGUAAUGAUCCAGUUCGAGUCCCAUUGAGCCUAGUCACACGUGCACGGACCAAGUGCUUCAAGGAGUCUCUUCAAACUCUUGUGCGAAAUGUUCAAGACCAACAAGGAGUCCAUCGGGAUAUUGAAGGCUUGGAAGGUGAUAAUCAAGUUGUCUACACGAUGAUCCAAACCCACGAAGAGAGCCCGUGAAGAGUCGAGUGGACCCCCAUGUGGGAAUGGUUGACUAGGCUCUAGGCCUUAGUGUUAGGUUCAAUUGUUUAGAGUUAUAUUAGAUUAUUUUAUUUGAGUCAUGGGCCGGCCCACCUUGUCCAAGGAGUGGCCGACCCUCCUUAGCUAGUUUCUUAGGGUUUCAUUAGCCUCUUAGCCUAUAUAAAGGCUCACUUUGUACGGUUAACAGGUAGACAAUUUUCAUAAUAAAAUUCUGGUUCGAUUCUCUUCAAAUUAUUGAGAGCAGUCGAUCCUUUAUUUGCUUUUGGCAAGCGUUCUUGAGCAAUCUUGCGAAUGUCCUUGAUUGUUCUACUGAGCUAUCCACUAGAAUAUCACCUCAAUUGAAGUCGUCGUUCUACCACCUUCAAUCAAUUCAUGUCGUCAGUUUUGGUUCUAGGUUUCGCAUUCCAAGUGUUGGACAAUCUCGCUAGAUCCUUGGACAAAUGUGCUACGUGUUUCGAAACUUGUUGAUCGAGGACCGUAUCAGAGGGUGUCUCCUUCGGGUCGCAUGGGACUAAAGCCAACCAGGCCAAAGAAACAGUUGAGGCCAGGAUGGCCAAAGAAGCUGCCGAGGUCACACAUGUCAGACGAGCUGGAGAAACUGCCAAUGCUAUGCAGACCCAAGAAGCAGUCGGGGCCUUGCAGGUCGAAGAAGCUAUCGAGGUCGCCCAAGCCAAUGAGGUAGCAAAGGUCGAACAGGCCGGAGAGACUACCCAGGUCGCACAGGCUGAAGGAGCAGUCAAGACCGAACAGGCUAGAGAGACUGCCCAAGCCAAAAAGGCUAAAGAGGCUACAGGAUGAACUGAUCUGGCCUGGACGUUGUACGUAGACGGCGCAUCAAGCAAAGAAGGAUGUGAAGCGGGGCUCCUCCUAAUCAGCCCUACUGGGGAAGAGCUGGCCUACCCCUUGAGAUUCGAUUUCAGAGCCUUCAAUAACGAAUCUGAAUGUGAGGCUCUGAUCGUGGGAAUGGAGAUGGCUCGGAAAUUGGGGCCGAAUCAAUAAAAGUCUACAGCGAUUCGCAGCUAAUAGUAAACCAAGUAUGAGAAAACUACGAGAUCAAAGAAGUACCAUUGAGGAAAUAUGGCAUCAAGGCACACGAGCUGAGGGGUCAGUUCAAGCAGUUCAUAUUCGAGUAGAUCCCACGGAGCCAAAAUAAGAGAGCUGACACCUUGUCCAAACUGGCAUUUACCUCGUUUGGCACACAAAAUAGGGAGGUGCUGGUGGAGGUCAUUAAAAGACGGGCCUAUGAGCAGUUAGACACCGCAGUCAUUCAGAUAGUAAUCUCAUGGAUGGACCCCAUCGUCCGGUACCUAGCCAAUGGAAAGCUCUCUGCGAGUAGGACAGAGGCCCGCAAAGUCCUUUUCAAAUCACAAAAAUACGUGCUCACAGAGGGAGUACUAUAUAAGAAGUCUUACUUGCAGCCAUGGCUAAAGUGUGUAACGCCAGAGGAAGGAAGCUAUGUCUUGCGUGAACUGCAUGAAGGCAUUUAUGGUAAUCACGUUGGCUCGAGAGUUCUGGCCAAGAAGGGAAUGCUAUCUGGAUACUAUUGGCCUACCAUCUUCCGGGACUCGGUUGAACUGGUAGUCAGAUGUAAGUCAUGCCAAUUGCACGCCUCGGUUCAUCACGCCCCAAUUCAGGAGAUAGUACCCCUUCAUAGCUCAUGGCCGUUUUUCCAAUAGGGAAUCGACCUGUAGGGCCCAUUUUUUCAAGCUCCAGGAAGUUAUGAGCACUUGGUGAUAGCAAUUGAUUACUUUAUUAAAUGGGUCGAGGCCAAACCACUCAGCACAAUCAAUAGCAGGUCGGUCUAAAAGUUUCUUUGGAAGAACAUAGUAUGCCAAUUUGGCAUACCGCGAGUCCUAGUCUCGGACAAUGGCUGACAGUUUGCUGACAAUUCCCUCCAGGAGUGGCGUUCUGAGCUCGAAAUUCAGCAACAUUUCACUUCUGUGGGGCACCCACAAGCUAAUGGACAGGUCGAAAAUGUCAACAGGACCAUCUUACAUGGCCUCAAGACGCGGAUAUGAUCUGCGCGAACUGAAUGGGUGGACGAGCUGCCCACUAUACUGUGGGCCUACCGGACUACCCCUAGACGGCUAUCCAGGAAACUCCUUUGUCCUAACAUAUGGGACCGAAUCAGUAAUUUCAACAGAAAUUGGAGUGUCCUCAAGUAGGGUGCAGCAUUUCGUGGCCCAGAAUAACGAGGAAGAGAUGCGAUUCAACCUAGACUUGCUCAAGCAGCAAAGAGAAGAAGCUGCCAUAAGAAUAGCAAAGUACAAAGGGCAGGUCGCGCGGUACUACAACGCCAUAGUAAGGCAUCUCGCAUUCAAAUUAGGAGACCUGGUACUGCGGAGAAAUGCAGUGGCCGAGCUAUGGGCACAGGCAAGCUUGACACGAAUUGGGAGGGUCUCUACGUGGUAAAAGAAGCUAACCGCGCUGGGUACUGCAGGCUAACUCACCCUAAUGGGGAUGAAAUCCCACGCACCUGGCGCAAUUCGAAUUUAAAACUUUUUCGUUAGAGCUCGCGCAUGACUCGAGCUGAUUAGAAAGCGGGUCGCGUGACGUUUAAGAAUGUAUCUAGGUCUUACGACGAAAUGUAAGAUUUUUUGCUAAAAGUUUAAUUAAAAAGAUCAUUUAUUUCAAUUCAAAAAGGUGUACAAAAAGGGGGGCCAUACAAAAGCGAGUUGGCCAGUUCGGAUCCUACCCUACUCUAUGCCCUAUCUAUAUCUGUACUAAACACUACCUAAUUCUCCUCCUGUUGCUCUUGCUUGGGUUCAGUGAAGGUCAUAGGUAGGGUGGGGUCUACAACCAGCGCGGCCAGGUCGUGCCCAUGCGCGUAGCCUUCCACGAACCUGUCGAUCUGGUGAACUGCUUGUGGGUUGUAAUCAGGCCAUCUGCCUAAGUCGAAUCUAGGCAAAUUCAGAGACUGCACGUCAUGCAUAGCUUGUGUAUACCUCACCUGCAGAACUGGCUCGUUAAGAAUGACCAGAUCCUUCAUGAAAUCCUCAAACUUCUUGAAGUCCUUGACGCCCAGCUGGCGACCCUCCUCACGAGCAGCAUCAAUCUGACCAGGCAGCUCCGCAGACUUCUUCUGCUCGGCUUCUAGUUGUGUGCCCAGCUUGGCCGUCUUCUUCUUCUCCAGCUCGCAGGCGGCCUGGGAUUCGGCGAGUUGCUUCUUCAUGGACUCCAGCUCAGUUUCGACAGCCUCGAGCUGGGUUGACAACUUGUUUUUGGCCGCAUCGGCUUGAAACAAGUUCUCGCCCAUAUUCUCAUACCUCUGCGAUAGUUCGGCGCCAGUAACGUUAAGCUACAAAUUAAGCACAAGGUCAGGACAAGCCAAAUGCAGAAUACGACAAAGUACAGUUAGUUCAAAGGAUUAUUUGAGCCGCGUUGAGGUAGUAGCUCUCCAGCAGUUCGGAGUUGGACGCCAACUGGUUGAAGUGGUGUCGCGUGGGAGCACUGUGCCCCUAAGGAUCUCCCGAGCUGUCUCUGAAAAUUGGGCUCGAUUAUUCACCGACAACCCCCACUUCGGACAGAAGUGCAGGGGGUGCGAGUGUGCGCUCAGAUCGGAUGGUGAUUUCAGAGGAAUCACGUUCCUUCAUCGCCACAUGGCUGGUAGUGACUUUGACGAGGCCUGCUGCUCUGCGGUGUUUACUCCGUAAUACCCGGGCUGAGCGGCGGAUUGCCCUUCUUGGGCGUGAGGAGAAGUCACCUUAGUACGGGCCCUCUUGGCUGUCGUCUUCUUUCUUUGCUUCUUGGGCUCCUCUACAGGAGACGACCGAGCCGCUACCUGAAGGAUAGGCACUAGUGGAGAAGGAGCAGCCACGCUAACAGGAACGGUGGAGGGCUCAGCAGCAGGCGUGCUCGAACUGCCAGUUCUCCCUAUGUUCAACAGUUGGGAGAAUCUCUUCACUACAGGACAAAGAGGAGAGGUCAGUUCGGACAACAUAGUUGAACUCAUAAAAAAGAAGGAGGAAUGGGGGAUGAGAUCAAGAAUUUACAAGCUGCCAGCUCCUCGGGGGUGAGAGGUCGAAGAUCAAGAGUAGGGUCAUUCACCCCUGCUCGAAUCAGCCCCGCGGACCAGAGAUGGACGUUGUUGAAUUCCUUCACCUUCAACCGAGCUCCCGAACUAAUCAGGCGGUUCAGCUCGGCUGCUGGCAGGGGCGAAGGAAUGGGGUCAGACACCUGAGUCUCCUCCCUCCAGGUCAAGGGAGGAAAGCCUUUGUUCUUCACAUAGAAGAACUAGGCCUUCCAGCCCUUAAUAAAGGAAGAAGCGUUCGAGAACAGCUCACGGGUUGAGAACUCCCCCCCCGCUCCUACGAGCGAAGUAGAACCAACCAUGGACCGGACCGCAGACCUUCAUUUGAAAAAAUGACUUGAACAGGUCUAAGGAAUAGGGGAUCUCGAGAACUCGGCACAAGAUAAAGAAGCCGAGGAUCGACCGAACAGCCUUAGGGACGAGUUGGAUUAUCCGAAUUCCCAGAAGGUCAGAAUUUGGUAAAAGAAGUGAGGAAUCGGAAGGCGGAGACCAACUAUGAGCUGAUCUCUGUAGAUGGCCAUAAUGCCUGGGGGAGGUCAGCUGGCGUACUAACCAAGUUGGGUGGCCCUGGCCUUGAACUAAGGAGGGAUAUCAUACCUCUCUACCAGCUCGUCUACAUUUGCCUGAUCUAGGAGGGUGGUAUUACCUUGACUUCCCCAAAGUCGAUGCCAUGCCCCCCAGAGGUUCCUACCCUGAUAUUAUGGGAGCUGCUUCCAGGGGAAUACCCUGAACAGCAGCUCCCUCAAUAGGCUGGGUAGGCUGGUUGGACGGGUUCAUGGCUCGGAUUGGUGAACGAAUGGGAGAAGGAAGAUAUUCAGAGUCAGACGAGCUGGAAGAAGAGGAGCUAGAAGAAGAAGAAGAAAUUAUUUCUAUUGGGGCAGGUCAGACUACUCUACGCCUAGGUGCUGAACUAGUGAUGCCUGAGUGUGUGGAAGAAGAUGACAUAAAAGGAAAAGAGAACUUACUAGCAGAUAAGGAAGAAGAGCCGGUAGGUGCUUAGAAGGGGACGCUACUCUCGAACGAACUCACUAAGCGUGGUGCGCGCUGAUGGAAAUUUGGAAGUAGAAGAAAUGAGAAAGGAAACUUGAAAGUGACGUCUGGUGGGGUCUAUUUAUAGACCACCCAAGCAGGAAGACAAAAAGCCCCGAAUUAAAAUUUCAAAUUUAUUACUAGAAAAUCGUCGCCUUUGUUGACAACCGCCAUCAUAAUGGGACAUGACCCUUGAAGUGCCAGUUACAUGAACAAACGUGUCAGUUACUCAGAUAAAGACAGCAAUCAUGGGAUCGUGGGCUCUGCUCCAAACUGACCCGUUGCCCCAAAAUUUGAUCCAGACUCAUGCGACCUUUCGAUGACUCUAGACUCAAAGGGGGGCGAGUGUAAUGGGGCCAAUUGACAGUCGCCACGUGUCAGCUAGGCCAUGGUGGCCCGCCAGCUCGGAUAAGCCAGGUUGGCUGGAGAGCACCAGCUCGCCCGACGCCGCUGCCUCUCUGCCAUGUGGGCCUAGUGGGCCGUGACCUCUGGACCGUUUGGAGUAUUACACGAAAUUCUAGAAAGACUCCAAAUCUUAGAGAACUCCGACUCCUAUAUGAAAACUACUACCCGCAAGCCUAUAAAUGUAGUUUCAUACGACGACAUAAGGUACGCCAUCUACAAUACUCUAUACUGUUACUUUACUCUCAAGCUCUCGUUGACUUGAUCGUCGGAGCUAUUCCGGCGACAUCAGUCCCGCCAUCGCUUUUCUUGAUAGGGCAGCUCACUCGCUCUCCCCCCAUCAGCUCGAUCAGCCCCAAUCUGCUCAACUCACCCAGCUCAGCCCAAGUCGCAUCUUUGGCAGUCGCAUCAGUAUCAAAAUGACUAAAAUGAAGGCUUAUUACCUAAUUCCUUGAAUGAAAAUUCUGAAUUUAUGCUUUCAACACUUGAAAUACAGAUAAAAAGAAGGAUACGAAAGCAGUCACUGCAGUCACAGUGGUUGCAGUAUCUUUAUUUAUUGCCGUCUCUCUAUAUUUUUGUUGGAAAUGGUGGGCUAAGCACAAAGUUGACAUUACUCACUUUAAUAUGCUCAAACUCUACUUAAUUAAUUUCUCAUGUGUUGUCAUUUAUAUUUAUGCAUUCACCUACCACCUACUCAUAAACAAGUAAAGACCAAGAUGAUCAGGUGUCUUUGUUUGAAGCUGCGUAUAAAGUGGAAAACAUGGUUAGCAAAACUGUGGACCGAGCCAAGUUAGAAGAGCUACCUCUGUAUACUUAUGAAACACUAGUAAUAGUUUACGUACUUUGCACGUGAUUGUAAUAUUUUAAAAUAUAUUAUUCUUUAGAUACUAAAUUUUUUUUAAUAAAAUUUUGUAAUCAAUAUCAUAAUAUAGCAUUUUUAUGGUAUUUAUUUUUUAAGCUAGUUACUUUUAAAAACUUUAUUAAAUGAAAGGAGACAAAAAGCAUUCCAAUGUAGUUGACUCCCUUAGGAUUGAAUUUGGAAUUAUGAACCAAACACCUUUUAAUUUAUAGUUUGAACUCUAACAUAUCAAAUAUUGAUAAUAUCAUGUUUUACCAAAAUUAUUGUAUAUUCAUGAUUCUAUUGCACAUAAACCACAAUCAUUACAAUUUUUUAUAAAUGAAGAAUAUAAUUAAGUUAGAAAAAUAAACAUACAUGUAAUUUGAAUUCUUUGUAUUAUGUUAAUUUUAUUUUUAUCAAUAAUGGAGUAUAAAUGAUCCACACGUAAAGUUUUUUUAGCUUAUACAUUCUGACAAUUAAAAUUUUAUAGAUAGAGAUAGUUGGAGUUUUUCUAUUUUUCUUUUCUUUUAUGCAUAUUUUUAGCACAAUCCAAUGCGGAGCAAAAGCAACAAGUCUACUUUUUUCAUAUGAGUACAAUAUUUUUGGUUUUAAUAAUCGUUUUUCUGAUAAUCAUGUAAUUGGAAUGAGAAUUAUCGCUAAUUAACAAUUUUAAUAUUAAUUUUUUAUAUAUUGCAAUGUUUUAUUUUUUAAUUGCCAACUUUUAAUCCAUAACCACUAUCAUUAUUAUCAAUUAUUGGAAUGCACUAAGUCUAUUUAAUUACAAUUGUCACCAUAAAUGAAAUUUACUUAAUUUUAAAGUUUUGCGUUUCAUAACCUCUUCCAUUAUUCACUAAUAUUGAAAUGCAAUAAAUAUAUGUAAUCAUUAGAAAAAAUAAGGGUAUUUUGAGCAUAACCAAUAACAAUUUGGAUAUCAUUUUAAGUUUACUCUUAUUAUAAUUUUUAUUUUAUCAUUAGAGAUGACUUCUAACUUGAUGGAUGGACUUAGUUUUCUCAAACCAAUACAAAUGAAGCAUUACUAUAUUAUUGCCAAUAACAAUGUUUGUCUUUCCCUAGAUAUCAAUAAUUGAAUGUUAUCUUUGGCAUUAUUUGAAUUGUAUUCUAGGUUUUUAAUUCAUUUGCUAUUUACUUUAUGUCAUUUUAUAAAUAGUUAUCAAUUUUUUUUAGUUCUUCUUGUUUUGAUCGGUUGCUAUUGAUGAUAAUAGUGGUUUGUAUGGUGCUAUGUUAUAUUUCUUUUUUUUCUAGUUUAAUACUGCUAUUUCAGUUUGAUAGGUUGCAUUUUAGUGGGUAUUUUGGGCAUUAUUGCACAAUUAAUUGACUAAAUAUUUUCGUUAAUUGGGUAGAUUCUACUAAUAUUUUGUUUUGGUGCUAAUUGCAGGAAUGGUUGCUGAAAAGUGUUUAAAUUCAACUUUUAGAAGAUUCAUCGGACGUGGGGCCCGUUUGAGAAGUUGAAGAAACCUAAUUGUAAUAGAUUUUAUUUUAAUAUAUUUCUAGGGAGUCCGGCUGCAAUUUUAAAACAAGUAACAAUUUUACGGCUAUUGUGGGGGAUUGUAUUUAUCUCUCGCGCGGCUUAGGUCAGGAGGGAGUUUUUUUUCUUUGGCUUUUGAAUGACACUGGGUGCCGCAGCUUGUAGGGGAAAAGAAAAAGAACAGAGAGGGGCGGCAGCUUUGUAGAGGAAAAAGCAGCAGAGACAGAGGGGCCACCAUUCUUGACUUCUGUACUUUUUCCUUUUCCAUCUUUUGUGAACUUUGAAAACUCAAGAUUUGGUUGACCGAAAUUGGAAGAUCAAAAGAAGCAAUUGAAACCUUUCUCUCGUAUGUUUGCUUUGUGAGGGACCAAUAUGAGCCGUUAUUGUUGACUUCGUAUUGGUUCUGCAUCUCUUGUUGACUUGGAAAUUCCGUGGCUUGUGAUUAGUCUUGACCGAGAAAUCAAGCAAUUGAAAGUUUUCCUCAUAUGCUUGCCUAACACCAAAAAGAAAGAAAGCAUCGAUGACCCUUCCCUACCUUGUACGCGCGGCCUGUUCACUAAUGGGGAACUAAACCCCUAAUUCUAGUCAAGGGGACUACUGACGAUUUGGUUCAGCAAUUACUGUGAGAUCGAAUUUAUUUUAACUAUUUCCUCCAUUUAUUAAUAUUUAUAUAUUUCCGGUUUCUAAUUGUUAUAGCCUUAUGUAUGAUUGGUUAGUGCGCAAUAAUUAAUUGUUUAUACAGGCUAUUUUGCUAUAUAUGGGUAAUUGAAUUCGUAAUUGUUCGUUAGCUCUAUCCCAGUAGCAACUGGCAUAAUUGGAUUUGUGUCAGGGGAAUAUUUGAUCUGGCUUGAAUGAACCCUCGUAGCGUGUUUGUUGGUUAGGAUUGGGCCUUUCUAAUUACUAAUGUAAUUUAGAAAUUAAAUCCUACGGUCGUACCUAGGGUUGUUUUUGGAUUAGAGAAAUAGCUAACGGUCGUACCUUAGCUAUCGAUAAAUUAAGGAAGGGUUGGUUGUUUAGCGCGUGCGAGACAACUAUAACCAAUCUAUUAAUAAAUGUUGAAAUUAUUUCUGCAUCAAUGAUCAGUGCAUGAACCAUUUCUGAAGUAUACCCUUGGCUAGAGUUUUCUUUCAGUUAUUCCUUUUAAUUAAUUAUUUUCUGCAUUUAAUUUGUUCAGUUGGCAUUUGAUACCAAAACCCCCCAUUAAUCUUGAUUUGAAAAGAAACAAAUAUCUCUCCAGUCUCUGAGGAGACGACCCUGCUUACCACUGUCUACUAGUUAGGGAAUUCAGUUAAAUAAUUAAUUCAGGUAUAUCGGAUUAAGCAAACUCUUCGGGAACAGGGUGAAUCAAGUAACCCAUUGCACACCUAGAGUCUCUGCUCCAGUACUCGAAUUGAUUACUGACUGUUUCAGGUGGUAGUUAGGAUUUAUUUAUUAUGAUUGCACAGGUUCGGCACCUGUCAAUUUUUGGCGCCGUUGCCGGGGACUGGCAUCAGAAUUAUUUGUUUCUUUUCGAAUUCAGUUUUUUUUAUUUAGUUCUUGUUAUUUUAUUUUCUUGGUAUUUUUGCUAGUUUAUGCCCCGUUCCUCUCGCACAGGUGAAUUAAUAUACGAUCCUGAGGUUGAGAAGGCAGCGCGUAGGCGAAGACAAGAAACCAAGAGACGAAAAGAAAGGUACUUAUCUUUUGCAAACGAGUCAGUAGAAAACGAAUUUAGCAUGACCAACACCCAGGCAUUAAGGGAGUUGGCUACCCCAGACCUGACUCAUCAGCUCUUGUGCAUCACGUUCCCAACUCUGGCUGAAAAUACCUCUUUCGAGCUGAAAUCGGGGUUGAUUCAGCUCUUGCUUUCGUUCCAUGGUCUCUCUGGCGAAGAACCCCACAAACAUGUCAAGGAAUUCGAAAUAGUUUGCUCUAGCAUGAAACCUCCUGGGGUCACUGAGGAGCAAAUAAGAUUGAGAGCCUUCCCCGUCUCUCUCAAGGAUGCAGCGAAUGAUUGGUUAUACUACCUGCCUGUAGGUAGUAUCACCACGUGGGCACAAUUGAAAAAGAAAUUCCUGGAGAAAUUUUUCCCGCGUCCCGGGCUGCAAGUUUGAAGAAGGAGAUUUGCAGCAUCAAGCAGUAUUCCGGGGAGUCAUUGUACUAUUUUUGGGAAAGAUUCAACAAGUUGUGCGCUAAAUGCCCACAGCAUCAGAUUAGUGAACAACUGUUGAUCCAGUACUUCUAUGAGGGACUCCAGUCAACUGACAGGAGUAUUAUUGACGCUGCGAGUGGAGGAGCCCUGGCGAACAAGACACCGAGGGAAGCGUGGGACCUUAUUGAAGCCAUGGCAGAAAACUCUCAGCAGUUCGGCUUCCGUGAGAGCAAUCCUACCCGUAGAGUCAAUGAGGCAGAGACGUCAUCCAUCCAGCAGCAACUGUCAGAGUUGACGUCUGCUGUCAGGCAAUUGGCCAUGAGAGACACACCGCGAGCGAAGGUGUGUGGAAUCUGUACUAGCAUGGACCACUGCACGGAUUCGUGCCCCAUUCUGCAAGAGGACGGGGCGGAACAGGUAAAUAUGGCCGGAGGCGUGCCCGCGCCCCGCUGGCAGUAUGACCCGUAUUCCAACACAUACAACCCCGGUUGGAGAGACCAUCCCAAUCUCAGUUAUGGGAACAGGCAACAAGGUUCAUUCCCGAAUCGUCCACCAGGAUUCCACCAACCUUGGCAACCAAAAUCUCAACGCUCAUCCUCCAAUUCAGGAAGCUCCUUGGAGGACCUAGUCAAAAGCCUGGCCACAACUACUACUCAGCUUCAUCAGGAGAUCAAAGCGGACAAGAAAGACCAAGAAACUCGGAUAAGCCAACUGGCAACCGCUAUUAACCGUUUGGAGUCCCACGUUUAUGAGAAACUGCCAUCGCAGCCUGAGGUGAAUCCCAAGAAUGUAAGUGCCAUGACGCUAAGGAGUGGCAAGGAGCUGGAAGGGCCUAAAGUGAAAAAUUCAAAAAGCAAAAGCGAGGAGGAGAUAGAAAAGGAAAUUGAGGUGGAAGGACGUGUUCGUGAGGAUCCUAAGGUAACUUCCACCUCUCCACUCACUAUUAGCUCUAACUUACCCCCUUUUCCUUGCAGGUUGGAAAAGAUAAAGAAGGUAGAGGAGGAAAAAGAGCUAUUGGAUGUGUUUCGGAAAGUGGAGAUCAACAUUCCCCUGUUGGAUGCAAUCAAGCAGAUACCGAAGUAUGCUAAAUUUUUGAAGGACUUGUGCACCCACAAGAGGAAGUUAAGGGGAGAUGAACGAGUGGCGGUGGGAGAAAACGUGUCAGCUAUACUCCAGAGAAAACUCCCACCAAAAUGUGGAGACCCAGAUAUGUUCACCAUUCCCUACAAGAUAGGAGGUACUCCAAUUAGGAAAGCAAUGUUGGAUUUGGGGGCGUCAAUUAAUGUUAUGUCUAAGACAAUUUAUGCUUCUCUAAAUCUUGGUCCGUUAAAAGGCAUAUGCAUUAUAAUCCAACUUGCAGACCGUACCAAUGCUUACCCAGAAGGGUUAGUUGAAGAUGUUUUGGUACAGGUUAAUGAGUUAAUUUUUCCUGCAGAUUUCUAUGUCCUAGACAUGGGGGAUGAAAGGGCACUAAAUUCGUCUCCUAUUCUGUUAGGUAGGCCAUUUUUAAGCACUACUAGGACAAAAAUAGAUGUAAAUGAAGGUACUUUGUCGAUGGAGUUUGAUGGGAAAAUUGUAAAUUUUAAUAUUUUUGAAACGAUGAAGUACCCAGAUGAGACUAACUCUGUUUAUGCUUUAAGUGUUGUCGAGCCCAUUGUACAGGAAAUAUUUGAAUUGGAUGGGGUUGAUGCACUGACGGUGGCAUUAGCCAAACAUCUUGAGUUGAGAGCAACUCCUGAUGUAGAAUUGAGUGAUGAGUUAUACCGGGCUGUUGGAGCACUGCAUUCGCUCCCACCAAUUUCUCCUAGGUAUGAGUUUACUUCUGUUUUUGUACCAGAAACUCAGGCAAAAUUGUUGCCUUCUAUUAUGCAGGGGCCUGAGUUGGAGCUCAAGUCUCUCCCAAAGCAUUUGAAGUAUGUUUUUCUCGGGGACAAUGAGACACUGCCAGUCAUCAUAUCUGCACACCUGUCACCAGGGCAAGAAGACAGACUAAUUCGUCUUCUUCGGGAUCAUAAGGAGGCAAUUGGGUAGAAUGUAGCAGAUAUCAAGGGAAUUAGCCCCUCUUUAUGCUUGCAUCGGAUCCGGCUUGAGAAGGAUGCAAAACCAGUGAGGCAUGCACAACGGAAAUUGAACCCACUGAUGAUGGAAGUGGUGAAGAAGGAGAUACUUAAACUCCUAGAAGUGGGGAUCAUUUUCGCCAUCUCAGAUAGUCCCUGGGUGAGCCCAAUACAAGUAGUCCCAAAAAAGGCGGGAGUAACAGUUGAAGAGAACCAAGAGGGUGAGAUGGUCCCGGUGAGGAAACCUAUAGGAUGGCACCAGUGCAUUGACUAUCGGCGUCUGAAUGCUGUGACAAAAAAGGACCACUACCCUCUACUUUUUAUUGAUCAGAUGAUAGAAAGGUUAGCUGGCCGUGUCUAUUACUGUUUUCUUGUUGGUUUCUCUGGUUAUUUUCAGAUCACAAUAGCACCAGAGGAUCAGGAGAAAACUACCUUCACCUGCCCCUUUGGUACAUUUGCAUAUCGGAGGAUGCCUUUCGGCCUUUGCAAUGCCCCAACAAAUUUUCAGAUGUGUAUGGUAAGUAUAUUUUCUGAAUAUGUAGAAAAGAUUAUUGAGGUGUUUAUGGAUGAUUUUAGUGUAUAUGGAGAUAGUUUUGAUGAAUGUCUGGAUAAUCUAGUUUUAAUUUUGAAGAGGUGCAUUGAGACAAAUUUAGUGUUAAAUUGGGAAAAGUGUCAUUUCAUGGUAGAUCAUGGCAUUGUUUUAGGGCAUGUAGUGUCGGCCAGAGGUAUAGAGGUUGACAAGGUAAAAGUCGAUAUUAUUUCUGCUUUACCUUACCCCGCAAGUGUGGGGGAGGUGCGCUCUUUUUUGGGUCAUGCAGGGUUCUACAGGAGAUUCAUAAAAGACUUCUCAAAAAUUGGAGCGCCCCUGUUCAAACUGUUGCAAAAAGAUGUAGCAUAUGACUUCACCGAAGAGUGCAAGGUGGCAUUUGACAGGCUGCGGAAGUCAUUGACAUCACCACCUGUUAUCCAACCUUCAGACUGAAGCAUCCCGUUUGAGAUAAUGUGUGAUGAGAGUGACUAUGCAGUGGGGGCGGUGCUGGGGCAACGGAUUGGCAGAGCUGCUCAUGCAAUCUACUAUGCAUUCAAAGCGCUGAAUGGAGCUCAACUCAACUACUCUACAACGGAGAAAGAAUUGCUAGUUGUGGUUUUUGCACUAGAAAAAUUUAGACCUUACUUGUUAGGUGCAAAAGUAAUAAUUUUUUCUGAUCAUGCAGCAUUGAGAUAUUUGAUGACAAAGAAAGAUGCUAAACCAAGGCUCAUCAGAUGGAUCCUGCUUCUUCAAGAGUUUAACUUGGAGAUUAAGGAUAAGAGUGGGGCAGAAAACUUUAUCGCUGAUCACUUGAGCCGCCUGCUUGCUCAUAAGGAGGAGCCACCAUUGAGGGAGGCAUUUCCAGAGGAGCAACUACUUGCUAUUAACUCGUCUGUACCCUGGUAUGCCGAUUUAGUAAACUUCUUGGUGACUAAUCAAUUGCCUGCAGGGUGGCCAAAGGCUAAGAGAGACAAGUUGAAGAGUGAUGCCAAAUAUUACAUUUGGGACGACCCGUACCUUUGGAGACAAUGUUCGGAUCAAGUGCUCAGGAGGUGUGUAAGUGCAGGUGAAUUUCACUCCAUUUUAAAUUUCUGUCAUUUGUUUGCAUAUUGAGGGUAUUUUGGGCCCAAACGAACAGCUCGCAAGGUGUUGGAGAGUGAUUUUUACUGGCCUACCCUAUUCAAAGAUGCUUAUUUAUUCUGUAAAUCCUGUGAUAGGUGUCAAAGGGUGGGGAAUAUUUUUCGUAGGGACCAAAUGCUUCAAACCGCCAUGUUGUUUGUUGAAAUUUUUGAUGUUUGGGGGAUAGAUUUUAUGGGUCCUUUUCCCUCAUCUUUUGGUUUCCUAUACAUUUUAUUUGCUGUAGAUUAUGUCUCUAAUUGGGUGGAAGCCAAAGCCACCCGUACUAAUGAUUCUAGAGUGGUUGCAGAGUUCUUAAAAUCUAAUAUCUUUGUCCGUUUCGGAAUGCCAAGAGCUGUAGUUAGUGAUAGAGGGACACAUUUCUGCAACAAGACUAUCACUGCCUUGUUUCGAAGAUACGGUGUACUCUAUAAGGUAUCCACACCGUAUCACCCGCAGGCAAACGGUCAGGCCGAAGUGUCAAACAGGGAAAUCAAGUCGAUCUUGGAGAAGAUGGUGCGUCCGGAUAGGAAGAAUUGGAGUUUAAAGCUAGAAAACGCACUAUGGGCGUAUAGGACCGCGUACAAGACCCCAAUUGGGAUGUCUCCUUAUAGACUUGUCUUCGGUAAGGCUUGCCAUCUUCCCGUGGAGUUCGAACACAAGGCGUUUUGGGCAGUGAAGCAGUGUAACAUGGGUUUAGAUGAAGCAGGGGUCCAAAGGAAAUUGCAGCUACAAGAGUUAGAGGAAAUAAGAAAUGAAGCGUAUGAGAAUGCCACGAUCUAUAAGGAAAAGAGUAAAAUCUUUCAUGAUCAGCAGGUUUCUAGGAAAACUUUUGUAGUGGGGCAAAAAGUCCUCUUGUACCACUCAAGGCUUAAAUUUUUUCCUGGUAAGUUGCGUUCUCAUUGGAUUGGUCUAUUUGUCGUUUCUAAUGUGUUCCAUUAUGGUGCAGUGAAGAUCCAAAGUUUAAAAAUGGAGAAAAAGUUCGUGGUGAAUGGCCAUCGUCUCAAACCUUAUUAUGAGGGUUUCUAUGUUGAAGAAGUAGAAGUUGAACACCUCCAAGAUCCACUUUAUCAUGCUUGAGGGUUUUGGCCAUGUCUAGCCAAAGACAGUAAAGAGAGGCGCUACUUGGGAGGCAACCCAAGACUAUUUGUUUCAGUUUUCAUGCAUUUUUGAAGUUUUAGAUAGGUGUGGUAGCAAUUAAUAGUUUGGUGUUUGGUGACAGGAAAGUGGCAUUUAGGCGUGCCCACGCCAGGUGGUCACGUUUGAGGAAAAGGGUUGGAAGGCGAUGUUCUGCGGACUCUAUAGCAGUUAGACGUGCCCACGCCAGGUGGUCACGCCUGAGGGGAAGAAAUUUUCGAUCAGAUUCUGCGGAUUCCGUAGCAGUUAGACGUGCCCACGCCAGGUGGUCACGCCUGAGGGAAAGAAAUUUUCGUUCAGGAUCUGCGGACUCUAUAGCAAUUAGGCGUGCCCACGCCUAAGACUGGGUGCUUCAAAGAAAAAAAAAAUUUUGAAAAGACACGAAACCCUAUUUUCUUUCUUCUUCUUCUUUCUUUUCUUUUUUUUUUUCCUCUUCCUUCUUCCUUUUCUUUCUUUUUCUCCACCUUCUUCCUUCUUUUCUCCAUGUCCACCGCCGCCCGCCGCGCCAAGCCCACCUAGCGCCGUGCCUCCUCCGCCAGCGAACAACCUCGCCGCACGCCGCCGCUCGCCUGACCAGCUGACCAACAUCGCUCGCGCCCCGCACGACCGCCUCGAGCAGCCCGCCGACGUCAAGCGCCUGCUGUUCCAGCACCAAAACAGCAUGGCCCCGCAGCCAUCGCAGCUUCCUGCGCAACCCCCGCGCGCGAGUUUCAGCACCAACAGCCAGGCGCGCCUCCUCUCGCAGUGCGCCUCCUCCGCGCAAGACCAGCACACAGCGCGAGCUCGCAGCAUCUCGCACCGCGCCACGACAGACGCGCGAUGCCCGAUCUCAGGCGCCACCCUCCUUGCACGCGUCCUUGCGUGCGAGCAGAGCUCCAGCUACCAUCAGGCGCGGCUUUUUUCUCCGCGCAGUCAAGCCCGGAAGCGAUCCUCCUCGCGCGAGCUAGAAUCUCGCACUCAGCCACGGCGUGCGCCAGUAGCAUGCAAGAAAGCCUGAGCGCGAUCCAUCCGCGCGCCUGCCCUGGCGCAUGCGACCCACGCGCGUCGCGCCUCAACCCCUGUGGCCGCACCAACUCUCCUCACUGUCAUCCACUGCCUCCUCCGAACAUCUGGUGAUUUCGUUCUUUAAUUUUCUGUCACUAAGUAGUUGAGGCCAGAUUACUAGCUUUUAUUAGCUGAUGCCAGAUUUUAAUUUCUUAGCUGAGGCCAGAUUUCUUUUAAUUUUGCUAACUGAUGACAGAUAUUUUGUGGUUGAUUUGAGUGCUGUGAUAUCAACUGUGGUUGGUUGACGACUAUUUGUUCAAUUUUGGGGUAGAAUCUGAAGUAAUUGGGGGAAUUCUUAUUUUUUUUCACGUUUAAUUAGUUUUUGGGUGAAGUUUUUAUUGUUAUUCUACUUAAUUGACUUUUGGGCUGUUUGGUUGCUAUUUGUUCAAUUGUUGGUGUUCGGAGCUGUGUUUGGGGACCCCUACUUUGUUGAUUAACCACCGCUCCAUUUUACCCAACUUCACCUUGACUUUGCCCUCUUUUCCAAUCCCCAAUGACUAAACCAAAAACCAAAAGCAAGAACAAGCCUUCCACUUCAACCCCUCAGCCUACGGUCCCCUUAGAGGGACCUGCCCCAUCGACUGGGCCUGGAGGGCCCCGUAUCCGCCUUGGACGGAAUAGGGAGGUUCAUAUCUGCUCUCCGGCCCAUUUUGGCGGUAAUUUGACCUUCACCCGGGCUGCCGACAAGGAGCGGUAUGUUUCGGCUUGCACAAGGAAGAUAAUUCCUUGUAAAUACAUCCAUGGCCCUACACUUGAUUUGCUAAACCUCAGGGAUGAGGUCACGCAGCACUUGACUAAUGUAGGUUGGACCCGCUAUGCUUCUAUCAAUCUACCUGCUUUUAUUGAACUCACAUGGAAAUUCUAUGCUACUUUUGAAUUUAAUAUUCCUGAUGAAUUCUCCGUUACCACUCCUGGGGUAGUGAGGUGUCGAUUAAUGGGUAGAGAGUUCAACCAAUCUAUCACUGAGUUUAAUUUGGCUCUUGGGUUUAUUGAUAUUCUCUACUCCUAGAGUGAGGAGUAUAUGCGCAGUGUGUGCGAGUACUCGGAGCCAUUCUUCUCGCAUUACCUUGAUUAUUGGAGCGACUUGUCGGUUGACCGACAAGUCUAUGACCCCAGUCAGUCUAAGGCUUAUUAUCUUAAGAGCGCCGCCUAUCGUUAUUUACAUAGAUUCAUGGCCUAUAGUUUCUCAGGUAGGAAGGAUAGCUCAGGUACUCUGACCAAGCCCGAGUUCUUUUUCGUUUGGUGCAUGGUCACUCGGACUAGAGUCAAUUUGGGUAGCUGGUUUGCCCUCCACCUCCGAACUGUGCUAAGUAAGAAAAAUAAGCCAUUAAUCUUAGGCUCCUUUAUUACUCAGUUAGCUGUAAAUUUUGGGGUUUUGGACUUGAGCAAUCAUAACUUACAUCGUGCUUGUAUUAUGGAGCCCCUUGAUUUGGUUUGUUUGGAGAAAAUGGGUCUUGUGCGACAGGUGAAUGGCGCUUUCCAGUUUGCUCCCCCGGGGCCAAUCUCCGUUCCUCCGAAGCGCAAAGCUUCCAAAUCCACUGCCCCGGAGGCUGGUGGUCCGUCCACGGAGGCCCCCGGACCAUCCUCUUCGGCACCUCCACCAUCUUCCUCCGUCGAUAGCCAGCUUGCAGCCCUCCGAUUCCAAAUGCAGCACAUGGACACUCGUAUGGAUCGGAUGGAGCGUCAAAUGGGCGGGAUGGCCCAGAAUAUAGCGCAGUAUCUCCAUCACGUGGGCUUCCGCCCGCCUUUUCCCCUACAACCAUGAUUCAUUUCUGCCCUCCUCCGUUUUCAAGGGAAGUGUCGUUGCCCGGUACCUUUGUUUUGAUCUUUCUUUGCUUACAUUGAGAACAAUGUAUGGUUUAGGUGUGGGGGAGGGUUGACUAUGCUUUGGUUGUGUUUUUAGUUGUCUGGUUAAGUUUUUCCCUUGCCUUAGUGGUUCCUUUCUUUAAACUGUGAUGAAUGCAAUUGAGAUAUGAGUGUACGUAGCAAGUUCAUGCCAUGGGGUGUUCUAUUUUUCUCGAUGACGAAUUGAUUGAUGAAUAUGCUGAACUUGACAUAAAUUUGACCACUCGUGCGAUUUUUGAGCCUAAUUUUUCGUUUGUGUGAGUGGUUAUUGCACAUGGUUUGUCAUUCUAGAACUUGCUCGGUUAUGCAUGUCAAGACCACAUUUAAAUGAAUUUAAUGCAUUGAAAUGAUAGGGCACCUAGGAAUGAGCUAUUUUUGGACUUUCUUAAAACCCACCCUUGGAUUAUUUACCAUUAGGGAGCCAAGUUGAGCUUUACAUCCUAUUUUUCGCUUGAGACCCUAGUUUUUAGCCGCAAAACCUCUCUUUAGACUUUCUUUUCGAACCUCAUGUGAAGAAGUGUUUUGAUUUCAUUAUACAGAAUUUUGAAGUAUUAUUUGGGAGGCAUUACGCCUAGCUAUGAGAGAAAAGAAAAAAAAAAGAGGAGGAAAAUGUGAAAAGGGGACAGAGUGCAGGAAAUCAGCGAGUAAAGUUGAUGUUUAUGCUGUACAGGAUUGAAUCUUGAAAAAAAAAAAAAGCAAAAGGAAAAAAAGAGGAGGAGAAAGAAAGGUCGAAGGUUGUGGCAAGUUCUAAUUCACUUCACUUGUGUUAUGGUUGAGAUGCCUUUAAAUUUCAAAUGUGCAAGAAUCUAUGUAAUGAAUUUCUGGACACUUUCUUUAUACUUUUGCACCCUUUUGACUCCUUUUAAUGCUACCUUCUCACCCUAGCCCCAUUACAACCUUGCAAGUCCCUUGAUUGCUGCAUUUAAAUUCAUGAGUAAGUGGUGGAGAUAUGAUAUAUGAGCAAGUUUAUGGUAGUGUCAUUCUAUUGUGUUGUUUUGAGAGCCAUCUUAUAUACAUUUCAUAAACACUUUGGAGUGAAUGAGUGCACUUUAAACUGCGAGAAUUGUUGAUUUGGUAUAUUCUGAUUUCGAUAAGGUUAUUGGGGAUCUUGGAAUGCCAUUCUUGGUACGAACUACUGUGAUUUGCUUAGCAUCUUGAUCGUACUUCUAAGUUAAUUAUGCUUGAGGGCAAGCAUAGUUCAGGUAUAGGGGAGAUUGAUAGGUUACAUUUUAGUGGGUAUUUUGGGCAUUAUUGCACAAUUAAUUGACUAAAUAUUUUCGUUAAUUGGGUGGAUUCUACUGAUAUUUUGUUUUGGUGCUAAUUGCAGGAAUGGUUGCUGAAAAGUGCUUAAAUUCAACUUUUAGAAGAUUCAUCGGACGUGGGGCCCGUUUGAGAAGCUGAAGAAACCUAAUUGUAAUAGAUUUUAUUUUAAUAUAUUUCUAGGGAGUCUAGCUGCAAUUUUAAAACAAGUAACAAUUUUUCGGCUAUUGUAGGGGAUUGUAUUUAUCUCUCGCGCGGCUUAGGUCAGGAGGGAGUUUUUUUUCUUUGGCUUUUGAAUGACACUGGGUGCCGCAGCUUGUAGGGGAAAAGAAAAAGAACAGAGAGGGGCGGCAGCUUUGUAAAGGAAAAAGCAGCAGAGACAGAGGGGCCACCAUUCUUGACUUCUGUACUUUUUCCUUUUCCAUCUUUUGUGAACUUUGAAAACUCAAGAUUUGGUUGACCGAAAUUGGAAGAUCAAAAGAAGCAAUUGAAACCUUUCUCUCGUAUGUUUGCUUUGUGAAGGACCAAUAUGAGCCGUUAUUGUUGACUUCGUAUUGGUUCUGCGUCUCUUGUUGACUUGGGAAUUCCGUGGCUUGUGAUUAGCCUUGACCGAGAAAUCAAGCAAUUGAAAGUUUUCCUCAUAUGCUUGCCUAACACCAAAAAGAAAGAAAGCAUCGAUGACCCUUCCCUACCUUGUACGCGCGGCCUGUUCACUAAUGGGAAACUAAACCCCUAAUUCUAGUCAAGGGAACUACUGACGAUUUGGUUCAGCAAUUACUGUGAGAUCGAAUUUAUUUUAACUAUUUCCUCCAUUUAUUAAUAUUUAUAUAUUUCCGAUUUCUAAUUGUUAUAGCCUUAUGUAUGAUUGAUUAGUGCGCAAUGAUUAAUUGUUUAUACAGGCUAUUUUGCUAUAUAGGAGUAAUUGAAUCCGUAAUUGUUCGUUAGUUCUAUUCCAGUAGCAACUGGCAUAAUUGGAUUUGUGUCAGGGGAAUAUUUGAUCUGGCUUGAAUGAACCCUCGUAUCGUGUUUGUUGGUUAGGAUUGGGCCUUUCUAAUUACUAAUGCAAUCUAGAAAUUAAAUCCUACGGUCGUACUUAGGGUUGUUUUUGGGUUAGAGAAAUAACUAACGGUCGUACCUUAGCUAUCGAUAAAUUAAGGAAGGGUUGGUUGUUUAGCGCGUGCGGGACAACUAUAACCAAUCUAUUAAUAAAUGUUGGAAUUAUUUCUGCAUCAAUGAUCAGUGCAUGAACCAUUUCUGAAGUAUACCCUUGGCUAGAGUUUUCUUUCAGUUAUUCCUUUUAAUUAAUUAUUUUCUGCAUUUAAUUUGUUCAGUUGGCAUUUGAUACCAAAACCCCCCAUUAAUCUUGAUUUGAAAAGAAACAAAUAUCUCUCCAGUCCCUGAGGAGACGACCCUGCUUACCACUGUCUACUAGUUAGGGAAUUCAGUUAAAUAAUUAAUUCAGGUAUAUCGGAUUAAGCAAACUCUUCGGGAACAGGGUGAAUCAAGUAACCCAUUGCACACCUAGAAUCCCUGCUCCAGUACUCGAAUUGAUUACUGACUGUUUCAGGUGGUAGUUAGGAUUUAUUUAUUAUUAUUGCACAGGUUCGGCACCUGUCACAGUUAUAAAGGUGUCAUCAUUUUUUGGUGCAAUAUGAAAAAUUCUUCAUCAUUACUAUAGACAAACUAUGAAUCUUGGAAAAAAAUGCACAAUUGUAAAAUUUGCUCGUGAUGUUUGUAUGAAGAUUUACAGAUGAAUAAGGAUUCUCUUCUCCUUAUAUGUUUCUCCAUUUUCUAGAGAAUAUCUAUUUUUUGACAUUGAUUUUUCUUUUACAAUCUCAACUAAUAACUAAUGAGAAAUUUUUCAUACUUCAAAUAAGAAAGUUUGAUACGUAUAAUAAUUGGAGAUAGAGUUUAAGGGUAGGUAGAUAGUUUUAAUUAUAAUUACCAAUACUAUUAAGAUGGAAUCAAUUGGAGUGUUUUAUUUCUUUUAAUUAGUGCCACAUUAAAAUGAAAUAAUUCUAAUUAAAAGACAUGAGGGUAAUUUAGGAAUAACAAAAAACUAAGAUAAAAAAGUGCUUACACUUACACUCCCUCGUACCAAGAUUCAUACUUUUUAUAUAGUAAUGAUAAUGAUAAUGAUAAUGACUAGCUAAAGCAGCAGAUAACUUUGAACAAUGCAAUGAGCUGGGCAAAGGUGGUUUUGGUCAAGUCUACAAGGUAAUGUAAGCUCCUCAUGGUAUUCCAAGCUGCUUGAAGAACUAAAUGAGUUGUUUGCUAGGAUUGGAACUUAAUUAUCAUUGCAUCUGCAGGGAAAGCUGUUAGAUGGCCAGGAAAUUGCAGUAAAAAGCUUGCAAACACUUCUGGCCAAGGCAUUGAGGAGUUUAUGAAUGAAGUUGUGGUCAUUUCUAAACUCCAGCACGAGAACCUUGUUAGACUCCUUGGCUGCUAUGCUGAAAGAGGAGAAAAUGCUAGUCUAUGAAUACAUGCCAAACAAAAGCUUGGACUUCCAUCUAUUUGGUUUGUUGAUGAACAUCGCUGCACGGGAAAUUUUCCGUAACACAUUAUACUAAGUCAUAUUGAUCUACGUCAUUAUUGCUCUUUCAGAUUCUAAUAAGCCAAGUGUACUCGAUUGGAAAAAACGCGUCACCAUCGUUGAUGGGAUAGGCAGAGGCCUCCUUUACCUUCACAGAGAUUCAAGAUUAAAAAUCAUUCAUAGAGAUCUAAAGGCAAGCAAUAUUCUCUUAGAUGAAGAGUUGAGACCCAAGAUAUCAAAUUUUGGCUUGGCAAGAAUUUUCGGAGGCAAUGAAGAUCAAGCCAAUACAAGGAGGGUUGUGGGUACAUAGUGAGUACAUGUCGCUCUCUUGUUUAAUUCAAUCAAUUCAUCAUGUCUAAACUGUUUUUCUUCCCCUUGCAGUCCUCAUAACUCAAACUAAUUUUUUACUCCUUUUGCAUAUAUAUAUAUAUAUAUAUAUAUAUAUAUGUAUGUAUGUAUGUAUGUAUGUAUGUAUGUAUGGUGAUGAACGUAACAUUGCCCCCGAAUAUGCAAUGGAAGGCAUAUUUUCAGAAAAAUCAGACGUCUACAGCUUUGGGGUGCUGCUAUUAGAGAUUGUGACAGGAAGGAGAAAUAGUAACUUCUAUUAUCUCGAGAAUGAGCUGAGUCUACUUGGGUAUGUAAGAUAAUACCUUCGACUAUGAAGAGUAUCAUAAGGGCAAAGUUCCUUAUCCCAUUCUUGCGUAAAGCAAAUUAAAUUCACUGUUUCAUUUUGCUUCCUCAGGCCUGGAAAUUGUGGAAUGAAAAAGAAGCAGUUAAACUGAUAGAUGCAGCUAUGUUUGUCCCGGGUAUCGAAAAAGAGGUCUUGAGAUACGUCCAUGCAGGGCUAUUGUGCGUGCAAGAAUUUGCAAAAGAUAGGCCAGGUAUGUCUUAUGUUCUAUCCAUGCUUAACAGUGAAAUUUCAAAUCUCCCUCUUCCCAAAUUACCGGCAUAUACAAGAAGAUUAGGAUCUUCAGAAAGUGAUUCUUCUUCGCAAAGGGUUCUAUUAACAAUGUCACUGUAACGAUUGUUGAAGGCCGAUAACAGAAUCCACUUCACAGCAUGCAAUACUAGUAAUGCAUUCAACAAGAUGGAUGUAGCACAACAUCAGUUUGCUUUGGAGGUAUCAGCAUACAAUCUGCUGCUUGGUUAUGUUUAUGCAUCUCAGUCUGACCAUAUAUUUGACAGCUUACUGGGUAUAAAGUAUAUAAAUAACUAUUUACUUGCUAUCAUGGACAGUUUUAGCAAUAGUCUCUCCUAUGAAUACUUUCUUCUAGUCUCUGUUUCUUAGGCUGACUUUAUGCAUCUGAAAUUAUUUUCUCAGAGAUAAGAGCAGAUUUCAACGCACAAUUUGGAUUAUUUGCAGAAAACCAAUUAGUUUCUGGAUGACGUAUUUGGAUGUCAAUGUCUUACCCAUGGUUCUAGAUUGGAUUUUUAGUACUUUUCCUAGUCGACAGAUAACUCAAUUUUAGGAAAUUUUUAUGUUCAUAUUUCUUUAUCUAUAUACGAAUUUGCAUGCUUGACUUAUGACCAUGUAUCACUUAGAACCACUAAGCUUGAAUAUGGAAUCCAAUAAUGUUAAUUACUUGAGAGUUCACCUUUACUUAUUUGCUUUGUUUGAAAGAAUCUAAAGUGUUACUGGCUUGUAAGUAUUUCAAUUCGUUGAUGUACAGAAGACUGGUAAAAUAAUAUUAAACAAAUAACCACUUUUUAAUUUUGGUUAUCUAUUUAUCAAUGUCCUAUUUUCCUUUGAUACACAUAAAUGGAGUCUGAAAAAUACUAGUGGCACUAAAAUCGUAAGCUUAAACUGAUUGACCAUGUUGUAAACUGAAGAUCAUCUUGGUGCUAUGGUCAAACUGAUUACUCACUUUAGGGAUCAUUGGUUUUUGUUAUGGAAAGUUCAUAUUCGGGAUGUAAUUCCUUUUUUGAAUGUGUUUCAUUUUGCAGGUUUAGAAUAUCAUUUCUUGGCUCUUAGAACGUUUUCGUAUGGCUCGAGCCAUUCUCUAUGAAGUUGAGAUGGUACUGCCUAUUUGUAUAUGUGAUAUUGUAAUUUUGAUGAAUAUUAGUGUAUACUGCGAGACUUGAUUAGUAUGUUAACUAAUGGAAGGUUUCAUUCAUUAAUACUCGAAGGAGUCGCUAGAUAAUUUGCUAUAAAUGAAUUUAUGUCUUUUUCUUAUUUCUUGAUGGACAUCAACUAAAGAGGCUUGCGAAUGGAUUUCUUUUAAGUUUUGGCCUUCCAAAAAAAAAGAAAAGAAAUAAAAAUAGAAAGAAAAGAGAAAAAAGAAAAAAAGAAGAUGUUUUUGUGACCCGCAAGUCCGCUAGUCACAAGGGUAGUGGGUCUAAUUUAACUAGUGGAUCCCAAUAGCACUUGUGACUAGCAAAACAUGACACAAAAGAUCUUUUGUGACUAUUAUUUGUAUGUCACAAAUAAAUUCUAGUUUUUUUGACUUUUUAUUACGUUCAAAAUACAAGUCAUAAAGGUAUUCUUACAAGUCACAAUUGAUAAUGUGACAUUCAUAUACAAGUCAUAAAAAUUUUGUGACUAUUAAAUCUGUGACUUUCAUAUACAUGCCACAAUAUAGUUACAAAAAGUUUUUGUGAUUGUUUAGAUCCUUUUUUGACUAUCAUUGACUAGUCACAAAAAUAUCCCAAACUAUCACUAUUUGGAUUGCUGAGUUUUGCAAAAACUAGUUUUUUAAAUACUAUUAAAAUUUUUAAAAAGUACUCUAAAAGAUACUCUAAAAAGUAGUUUAAUUUUUUUUAUAUUUAAAAAAUAUUCCAAAACAUAUUCUAAAAACUCUUAUACUUUUAAAUAUCCCAAAAUAUUUUCUAAAAAUAUCCCAAAAUAUACUAUAAAAAUUUUGCUACAGUUAAAUUUUUCAAAACACCCCCAAAAACAACUAAUCUAAACGGACAUUUUCUAGUAGUGAAACAUGUUUUGCAGGAUUAAUAAAGUCUUCAAUGUCUAGGAUCCUAAUGGCUAGUAUGUUGAACUUUUUGGACUUCAGUAAAUCUUGUAAAGUUUUCAUUGUGGGCAUAACAUUGGCUAAGAAAUUAUGAUGAACUAAAUUAAUCAAUUGUGAGCCGCACAAAAUGUUGAUUACAUAAAAAAGAAAUUAAACCUUUACUAUGCAUUGUAUAAUUACAAAAACUCGGAGAUUACAGAAACUCAAAGAUGGAAGAUUAUCAUAUUUUACCGCGGUUGUAAGUUGUAAUAGUAAGAAAGCAAUUUUCUAUGAUGUGUCAAGCCAGUGCAUAAAACCAAUAAAAAAUAAAUUGAUUUUUUUUCUUGUUAUUAUUUGUCUAUGACCUUUUAUCUAGUCAUUAACUGGUAUUUUCUUCUAGCAAAUAUAUAUGAUAUAGUUAACUUCUGUUAUCAUUAAAUAAAAAAAAGGGGCACCACAAUAAUUGAAGAUAAUUUUUACAUAUAAUGAUUUGAGAUAGGAGCAAGGGUUAGUGAAUAUAUUUUUGGGUUAAUCACAUUUUAUCCCCUUAAAAAAUACCCUAUUUCUCAGUUUACCCCCUAACCUUUAAUUUUGCUCACUUAACCUCCUUUAGGACAGAAUUGCUCUUGUAUUAUUUUGACUUUUCAUUUGCCUUGUUUUCCUUUCUUUUAUUUUAUUUUCUCUUUCUUCUAUUUCUUUUUCUCUUUCUUCUUUAUUUAAUUCUUCCUCUUUCCUACAAAAAUCUUCACCUUAAUGAUUGAAAUUAAAAAAGAGAAAUUGCAGAGAUCUAUCUUCUCCUUAAAUGAUUAAAAAAAUAGUCAAAUCAUUUUCCUAAAAUACAAUUUUUUUAGCCUUUCAAUUCUUUUAAUUUUGGAUUUUCCUCUUUCCUUUCUAAUUUCUCAUUUUAUUCCCAAGAAAAUAUCUUAAAAUGAAAUUGUGACCUGAUUAAUAAUCAUCAAUUGAAAUUUGUGGCACGUGGCAUCAUACAAAAAAUCAAAAUUAGUUUUUAAUACCUUUUAAACUUUCACCCAAAAAUAUGCAAUUACAAACUCAAAACAAAAAUUUUCGUUGAAAUGGAAUUUCUAUUGGGAAGAAUGAAAGAGAGAAGAAAGAGAGAAAGAAAGGAAAACAAUUUCAUCUUAUGAUAUUUUCUUGAGAAUAAAAUGAGAAACUAGAAAGGAAAGAGGAAAAUCCAAAAUUAAAAGAAUUGAAAGGCUAAAAAAAUUAUAUUUUAGGAAAGUAAUUUGAAUAUUUUUUUAAUCAUUUAAGCAGAAGAUAGAUCUUUGCAAUUCCUCUUUUUUAAUUUCAAUCAUUAAGGUGAAGAUUUUUGUGGGAAAGAGGAAGAAUUAAAUAAAGAAGAAAGAGAAAAAAAUAAAAGAAAGGAAAACAAGAUAAAUGAAAAGUCAAAAUAAUGUAAGGGCAAUUUUGUCUUAAAGGGGGUUAAGUGAGCAAAAUUAAAGGUUAGGGGGUAAACUGAGAAAUGAAGUAUUCUUUAAGGGGAUAAAAUGUGAUUAACCCUUACAUUUAUUAUUGAUAUGUAAUCAAUUGCAAUUUUUUUUCUUGGUUAGUGUCACAUCAAAAAUGAGACGCGUUUAACUCUAAUUAAAAGACAUGAUGGUAACUUAGGCAAAACUGGACAUAAUAUGUAACUUUAAUAAUCAAUUAUAAUAGACUAAUUAGAAUACCAGAAAUUAAAACUACAAAAAUGUAUACACUCAGAAGUGCUAAAACUCAUGUUACUUUUAUAAUAGUAAUUUGCUGUAUUAUAGGAUUUUACCUAAAGAUUAGUUCAUUGAGUUGAGUUGGUCAGCUUCAAUAAUGAUGGCGGACAAAUGGUAAUUGGAUCUUGAUUCCGAGUAAAAGUGCAGUCUAACUGGGACCAUAUGUUAUUAAGCUGACUCUACCUCCCUCAAAUACUGAUAAAGCUCUAAAAAAAUUUAGUUUAUCAUAAUCAAACACAUGGAUUUCAUCAUGCAUGAUGGCUUCAUGUAUUUGACAAGAGCCACGAUUGGGUUUAAUUUUCUUAUGCCAUGACUUGGUCUCAACAUCUAGGAAGAAUGCAAAAUCUUGUAUUGCCGUAUUAUAUUCCCAGUGUAAAAAAUUUGUGGAGGGAAUGAAAUGGAGUUAGAUUGUUAGAUUGUUCAUCAUCAAUGAUAACUUCUCAAUCACCAAUGAGGGGAUCCCUUUUUCUACUACUUGCUUGCUUCUGUUUAGAAGCUUGUACGGCGGUGGAUUAUAUAACAAUCACUCAGCCUCUGCAGGACUCCAAAACUAUAGUUUCUUCAGGCCAAACUUUCAAAUUAGGAUUUUUCAGUCCUGCAAAUAGUAGUGAUCGAUAUGUUGGAAUCAUGUUCAAUGUUCCUGCAGUUGCAGUAGUAUGGGUGGCUAAUAGAGACAGACCAUUAAAUGAUUCAUCAGGAACUCUGACAAUCUCAGGAGACGGCAAUCUUGUGGUCUUGAAUGGGCAGAAGGAGAUACUAUGGUCAUCUAACGUUUCAAAUUCUGUGGCAAAUUCUACUGCACAACUCUUGGAUACUGGAAACUUGGUUUUGACAGACAAUUCCAGUGGAAGAACUCUGUGGGAAAGUUUUCAGAUUCCAACAAACUCAUAUCUACGGUGGAUGAGAUUAAGUUCAAGUACGAAAGGCCAGAAAAUCCGAUUGACCUCUUGGAGAAGUCCUUCUGAUCCAUCUAUCGGAAGUUUCUCCCUAGGUGUCGAACCCCAGCAAAUUCCACAACUCUUCCUUUGGAAUGACAAUAAACCUUAUUGGCGCAGUGGUCCAUGGAACGGCAAUGUCUUUAUUGGAAUUCCUGGCAUGGAUCUAGUUUAUCUAAAUGAUUUUAACCUGGUAACGGAUGAUUCAGGAUUGGUGUCUGCUACCUUCACGUAUGCAAAUGAUACUGCUUUGUUGUACUAUGAAUUGAGUUCCUCAGGGUCUAUACUGCAGAAAUUUUUAUCAGAUAGAAAAGGGGAUUGGGAGGUUACAUGGUCAAGCCCAAGAAGUCCAUGUGAUGUCUAUGGCAAAUGUGGACCUUUUGGAAGCUGCAAUCCUCAUGGUUCACCUAUUUGUACAUGUUUGCAAGGUUUUGAGCCUAGAGAUAAGGUGGAAUGGGAAGGAGGAAACUGGACUAGCGGUUGC
RNAcentral lists this long non-coding RNA (61568 nucleotides) under Coffea arabica (coffee). RNAcentral describes it as "long non-coding RNA (CARA_LNC006173)". The record is from RNAcentral. Lineage: Eukaryota; Viridiplantae; Streptophyta; Magnoliopsida; Gentianales; Rubiaceae.